Molecule: long non-coding RNA, 75914 nt
Filed under: Volvox carteri
Lineage: Eukaryota; Viridiplantae; Chlorophyta; Chlorophyceae; Chlamydomonadales; Volvocaceae
Description: long non-coding RNA (VCAR_LNC000291)
Source: RNAcentral
CAACAUUUCCUUCAUCCCGGAAGACGAGGAAGUGGAUGCAGCCAGUGAUGGCGAGGAGCGGGAGGAGGAUCUGAGGGAGAUGGGAGUGCUGGCUGCUGAUGUGGCAGACACCGAUACGGGUUCCGGCGCCCGGACGUGCUCGGGUGCUCGGCGCAGUGCUGCGUCCCGGGGCCAGUCGGUGUGCGAGGGCGUCUAUGAGCUUCGUCGCCUGCUGCUGCCCGCCGCCGUUCCGACCACGCCUCAGCACUCCUCCGCCCAGCGGGCUCUCUACACGCAGCAGGAGCGAGAACAUGUGUCAGCGCAGCAGGGACUGCCUGCUGGUGCCGGUGCCGUUGUCAGUGCCGAUUCAGUCGAGUCCGUCUGCGUCAUGCAGGAGUCCAUCUUGCCAACUGAGUCCGCAUCCUCCGUCUCCUCUUCAUCCUCCGUGUCAUCCGCACCAGAACUCCGACUGGCAGACUCCGCAGACCUGCAUGAGGCGUACAAAUGCCAUGCAAGUAUGGUCAAUCUCUGCGGCGGAGAAGAAAGCUGUGCCGGUUACGAGGAGCAACGUGGCUUCCAGGGCCCCUGCCGGGACGUGGUCACGAGUAAUUGCGGUGCUGAUUCGUGCGAAAGGGAGGCCGGAGCCGCCUUCAGCUGCGGAUCAUGUGAAAUGGACGAGUCGUCGUGUGGCGAGCCAGCACCCAUGACGCCAAGUCGGCAGCACCCGCACCUGCCCGUCUGCUCUCCUUGCGGCAAGACCGAGCUGCUGGUAGCAGCUGGCGCCGACACAGCGGCAACGGCAGCAGCAGCCCUAUCAGUGGCGGCGGAUGCGGCCUUGGUACCGGCAGUCGAGGCCGGGUUUGAGGUCGAGGAGGAGGAUGGCAACAUCAUCACGUAUCCGCUGGGUCCCGGCUGUGAGCCCUCCAUGUUGCUGCACUACAGCAGCUCACCGGAGGCCGCUCCACAUGGCUCCAUGCUCGCCCUCAGUGCCGGGCCCAGCCCACGCAGCUUCCCUGUUGGCUCCCCGCUGCGAGAUUCCCCCGCCCGGCAGCCGCAGCCCUGCCCGUCUGGCCUCUCCGCCGCCGCACUGUCCUCAGCCUCAUUCCUCCAUGCAGCCUCAGUCCGCUCCCGCCGCACGUCCGCCCCUAGGUCCGCGCCCACAUCUUCAGGGGGGGCAAUGGCUGACUUCCCUCUCACUGUACCUGAUCUGUCCCGCGGCGUCCCAGCGCCGGUACCAGAGCACCCUGCCUCCACCGGCCCCUCCUCCUCCACCUCUAUUCAUGUUGAUAUGCUCCAUACCUCUCACGACCCGCCAGAGCUGCCUGUUGAUCCCUCCGCAUCUUCGUUCUCCCAGCUGGGCAUGCCCGUACCCUUGGCGCCAGCACUGUCCAUGGCGCGUACGAGUACUCGAUACCGUCGGUCCACCGCUGGCGGCAGCACGAGCACCGCCAGCAGCAGCGCAGUAUGCACCCCGCGCAGCGUUGCAUCGACAACCGCACUCUACGGCGCCCGUGGCGGAAGUCAGGGAGGGUCGGUACGGCAGCGUCACCGCGUCGCGCCGCCUCCCUGUCUGAGCCACCCCUCGCGUCCGCACCCGAAGCAUGUACAUGUGGUGGGUACACAGAACGCGAGCCUGCACACCCUGCACAACCACUCGACUACACUCAAGGCUAUUGCAGCCGCCGGCACACCUGCAGCGCUGGCGGCCGCGGCGUGCGCCUCCCUGGAGUUGUGUCGGCGGCGUCAGGCUCGCGAGCAGCUGGUGCAGCAGGCGGCGGCAACCUUGUGCGGCGGCGCGGACUGCCCCAGCUACCUGCGGCCGACGCUGUCGUCCGCUGCCAAGUCACUGUUGCUGCAGCACCAGCCCCCUCCUCCUCACCCUCCUCCGUAUCGACCGUCUGUAACAGCGGGACCCACCCCCACCAGGUCCAUGGGCCCGGCCAUCGAGCGGCCGUUCCGUUAGACGCCUGCCUGCCCAGCCCGCUUGCUAGCUAGCUUUAAGCUUUUGUCCAUAGCACAUAUCCAGUUUGAGGGGUUCCGCACUGGGUGAAGCCAUCGGCGUGCCGGGCGACCUCCUCCGCAGCAGCAGCAGGGAGGGCUUCUUUGUCCCACUCGAGGGGUCAAGUGCGUCCUCCGACCUUUUGUUACAUAUAAUCGUAUCUUAUUAUACAGCUAUACGGACGAUAAGGAGCAGCGCCGCGGCGGCAGCGGCAGCUACAGCCCGUCUUGUCGUGGUCCAUACAAGCGCAGCUCCGUACAUACAUGGAUAGGAGGUUACGCCUGUGAGUGUGUGCACAGGUUUGCUUGCUUGAGAAAAAGACAGAAGACAGUUGGUUUGUGUUGGCGCACAGACAUAAGGGGCGGCAGGGAAGAAUGUGUUGUGACGAAAAUCCAGCGGGGAUGGGUUCACGGGUGUUCACCACAGCAUAGGGGCGGAAAAAGGAGACGUGCUUGGCUGUGUCACGGUGGAAAGCAAUUGGCCAUUACACUCCCAAUGUGCUAUUUACAGACCUGGAAGGAUGCGGCAGCUACCGGCGUGACGGCCCAUGCUGCAGGAGGUAGGGGCUGGAUGACUAGGGAUGGGUUUCGGUUCCGGACUAGAGGAUUGCGGUCCUGGUGAGACCGGCUUUUGGCACGGCUUGGCGCCGCGGUGCAGUUGGUUGGCUGGUGCCUUGUUGCCGGGUCGAGGGGAAAACAGAGGGUGUUCAACGAGCGAGGGAAAUCACGUAACAUGCCGUACGCUUUGUGAGGAAAUUCUGUCAUCCUUUUCAAGCGUAUGAAGGGUGAUGCAGUGUUGUUUCCGACCCACCGACCCACCUACCGAUGUCUUCUCGUUCACCUUUGACCGCAAACUGGCGGGAUGUGCGUACUGGUACACGUGUGAACUGUCUAGCCGUAGUACGGUGGAUGGUAGAACCGGCGGUUCUAGGCACCGUCAUGAAAGGCGACAGGGCAGGAGAUGACCCACCAAGGACGUGCUUGGUGUGCGACAGGGUUGGCUUGGGUAGAGGUGCUUACUGGCUUAUUUGCAGGUUUGUUAAGGAUACCGUAUGAAUGCUUUCAUGCUGUCGUUGUGCAGCGCCGGUGGGCGGGUGGGUAUUAUUGGCCGCAGCGACGGCAGACAAGCAGGAAGGGCAUUGCGCCUCCCGGGGGGCUUUGCAGGGGACAUGCUUCCUGGUGCCCUGCAGGAAGUAGAUGGCUAGGAGGGCGCAGGGCGCCUUCCGCGCUUUCAGGGCUUUCGGCUGCCCUGCCUUCCUAAGCAGGUGGGUAUGUGGUGGUGUGGAUGGGGAAAUCCGAUCUCAGGCGAAACCUCAGACAGCUCAGACACGUUGAGGAUUAUUUUUUCCAGUUGUUGUUUGCUUUAGGUUGUAGGUUAGGGAUUACAAAACCAAUGGCAAAUACUUGUUGUGCCUUGUUGACAAGACGCGUGCUUGGAGUUGCAGAGCUGGGGGGUUGACCAAGUCGGUGAUUCGUUUGUUUGUUUCGAUAACCUCGCGGCGGUGCUGCCUGAUGGGGAGGGGACGGCAAUGUCGGUACAUCCGCCCCAAAAUUUGCAGGCGAGCAGUCUUGGUGAUGAUAGUGAGAUGGCGGCGUGGUGGCUCCCGUUGCCGCACGUGAGUGGUGUUCAGGUGGCCAUGUUGAUGUCCCCUGCACUCAUAAGUCGCAUUCCAUUUCCCGUGUCUGUGCGCGGUAGGGUCUCUGGCGGCUCGGUGUCUACGGAGAGGCCCGUUCGUUUAAAGCGGCCCACGCUUCCUUGACUUUUACGUGCAGCAUUGUCAACCGGAGAUGACAGGCCUUGGACUACGCGACUACUUAUUGACUGACCCGUGUAUGUAUAUGUGUAUGUGUGCCCCACAACGUGUGUAGUCCUUACAUGUUAAGUAGCUGGUGCGUAUGGCACGGCCUUUCUAGGCGGUGUGGCGUGGCCCUUCAUGGCCUGCAUGGACGUGCCCUUCUGCACGACUGCUUGUGUGUACGUACUUGGCUCGAUGGGGGAUCGUUUCCGCCACCGCAACCAGUGAAAGCAGGCGCCUGCCCGCUGCCCUGAGCUGCAAGCUUCCCUUGUUGUUUAUGAUUGUGUCGCUUUCGAUUGGUUGUUGCUGUGGGCGGUUCUCCACUUCGUUGUUUUGUUGGAUUCCCAAAUGCCGGUUAGGUGAUUGUUGCUAGGCUUGGCCGUGCCCGUGUCCGUCAGUCCUUUGACUCGGUGCUACGAUUUCAGGUAUGUUAGGGAAGAGGACAUGGCAUCAUUUCCCUAAACGCCCAUUCGGGAAACUAUGCCAGGUCCUCUUCCACCCCGUCCGACAGGGGAACCAGGGGGGCAGGGUCCAGGGGUGGGAGGAGGAGGCCCAUGUCCCCCCGUGUCCCUUCAAGAGGGCUUCGUGAAGGCGCUUUGGCGUCCUUGAACUAAAAGAAUUCUUUAGGCAUGACUAUUCCUCUAUGCCAGGGCCUUAUAAUACAUUCUUUAUAGUGCCUUCCUCUGAGGUCGCUUUAGUACUUCAGUACCUUUUUAUCACCCGUGUUUCCCUGUUGCCUUGUAACACAAUCCAGAGCAAUGCUGGCGUCGUUUCCAAGGAAACGCAAUUUGCUCAUGUCGCGUACGUGUCGAAACUUGACACCGCGAGAUUGAGAUGUAUGUAAACGCUUCGGCUGUGUUUCGCGGGUUGCAGCCUGGGCCCGUACACCCCGCGAUGAAAAAACGUUAAAGCAUUCGCAAGGUAUUUCGUUCGAAACCUACCAUGUCUGAUACGCCUGCUGCUCACACGCACGCAGCAGGCAGCAGGCAAGACACACAAUCUCAGCUACAACCUAUCCUAUCAGUCGGUACAUACGACAGAUCCACAGCUACUGUACAAAAAGGCGACACAUAAGUGCAGCUUCGGCGUGGCAGGAACAUAUCGACUAUAUAGCUUCAAAGCUGAAAGAUGGAACUUCAAAAUGCCCAACAGUCCUAUUGAGGCUUUUAAAUGGACACCACACACAUACGCAUGUACGCAGCAGCCUUGUAUCACGUCAUAUGUACGCUGGGAGCUCCAUACUGUUGGAGCCCCAAAGGCGUUUUUAGCACCGCCCGGCCGUCCCUCUGACACGGCCCUCUACAGCCGAACCACACGAUCAGAUCCGGGGACAUGGCGCGUCUAGGAAGUCCCUCAACGCGCGGGCGUUCUUAGAGCUGGCCAUGAUGACUUCCAGUCGCUCCAGGGGCAGGGCCGCCAGCUCCGCCAGGCUGGAGACAUGGCCCAGAAUGGCACGAUAGUUGGAAUCUGGUCGUAUGACCCGGGGAUAAGGGGGGUGGGGAGGGAGGGGAGGGAGCAGGCUUGAGGUAAAGGAGACUAAAUGGCAAAGUUGGGAAUGCACGACACAAUAACUUUCAGUGUCCUGCUGAAAGGGAGUGAGGCGGCCUAUGGAUUACUGGAGGAUGGAGAGGCGUACAGGGAAGUUCACGACCAGGACCACUCUGCCCUUGAUGCCUCUCCUUAAGCUCCCUCACCACCACUGACACUCCUCCCACCUCUCUUCCCCCAUCAGCCCCCACUCCAACCGCCACCGGGGGCCCCACCAAAUCACAUUCCUCUCAGGACCCCCUCCCCCCCCCACACACACACACUCACUCACUCACCAGUCACACCGGGCAGCCUCCUCAACAGCUCCAUUGCUGGCUGGUUCACCACAGACUCGAGUGGAGCCGCCCCAGGACCGCUGGCCCCACCUGCCCGCAACCCCCCAGCACCUCCUCCUCCACCACCGCCCUCCGCAUCCGAUGGCGGCAGCGGCACCCCGUCCGGCCCCAGGGGGACCCCCACCAGCGCCGCCGCGGCGGGGUCGGGCUCGUCCUGGUUGGACUUGAGGACCGCGAACAGGUCGGCGGUGGCGUGUGGGCUCCGAGACCACAACAGCCUGCCGGGGUCCAGGGGGAUUCGGCGCCGGGAAUUACGGGACGCGGGAAUACGAAGGUCUGUUGAAGGAACGCGAUUUGUUUUCUGUAUCUGUGUCAUGGUACGAAUGACCUCAUGAGCGCAAGUCCCUCCAGCCCCCGCCGUCUAGGACCAAGCCCUCCCCUCCCCCCCGUACCUGAGCUUGGGGAAGUGCAGGGUGAGCAGGGUGAGCUUGGAGAUGACGUUGCGCGGGUCGAUGUCGUCCCCCAGCUCGGAGGGGCUCUGCAACCCGAACUGCCGGUCCGCAUCGAACUCAAUGAGCAGCAGGGGCCGGGGAUAGUGGCGGCACAUCGCCGCCACCUGGUUGUACAACCUGGGGGUUGUGGGGGGGAGGAGGUGAAGAGGAUCUGGGUUUCAUACAACAUAAGUGGGCGAAUACUGGCCAUCGUUCCUUCCUUCUCCGUCCUAAACCACUGCCCCAUUUAUCACUCCCCCUCCCCCUCCUCCUCCUCCUCUUCCUCCUCCUCCUCCUCCUCCUCCUACUACUACUACAAUCAUCAACCCCUGACAUUUACCCAAGGCCCUCACCCCGGCACUCCUCAGUCCCAUUGCUUAUCCGGGCCCCCCAACCUUCCCUGUCCCUGAUUUCGCACCUGCCACUGGCCAGGCUGGCGUGCAGGUCGGGCAGGCUCUUCCGCUCCACCACCAGCUGCGGACUCAACACGUAGUCCCCCACCUCCAGAGUCAAGGGAAGCAGCUCAAAGCCCUGCAGGGAGAAGGGGACGGGUGAGGGGGGGAGAGGGGCGAUAUGGGCCCAGGUCGGGCCAAGGGGCUUGGGCUUGAGUGAGGUGUUGGGAAGAAUUGCGUACGGGGUGGGACGGGGGAGGUGGUUACUCUGGUGCGAAUAAACUCAACCCUAGGUCCCCAGCUUCGGGAGUUGGUUCAGGAACGCCCUCAGCAACACCCUCAUAGCCCACGCGUGCUCAGGAAGUGAGCUAACCCCGUUUCCAGAUCGGGGGUAGCUCGUUUUCAGUGGCCGGGAUCUUGGCACCCCAGUCGUACCGCCACCCCAGGUCCCCCCAUUCCCGGUCGGCCAGCUCCCGCCCACCAGUCAGAUCAUAGGGACCAACCCCCGGGGCCCCUGGAGCCGGACGCGCCACCGCUACAAACCUUCUGGUACAGCACCGCUGGCAGGCUGCUCAUGAACUCCCGGACGUCCACCACCAGGCGCCUCCCCGCCCCUCCCCCGCUCGCUCCGAGACCACCCACACCGCCGCCCCCCUGUCCCGCCAUGCGGCCCCCCGCAGACCGGGUGAGUGCAUUGGCGCUGUACACGUCCAGCCACAGGUCUGCGCUCAGAGCGCCACCCCCACCCCCGCGAGCUCCGUUGCUGCUCCCUCCCCCUCGCUGCGGGACGUGGAGUAGGGUGUUGGCGAGGCGAGCACGUAGGGGGAGGGAAGCCAGGCAAGUCAAGGGGGGCUCAGGGUUGUUCUACCUCGCUCGUGAGUUCGGCCGGCCAUUAUGACCACCGUGAUUAGCAAAGGGGUCUGGCACGAAGGACUUGAGCAGCGCAGGCCCUGACCGUGCUGGUUCUGGUUCCGGAGCAAAUAGAUCGAAGUGACACCCAGGCAAGGAGGGGGAAGGGGCUUUAGGGAGGGAGGGGAAGGAGGCGGGUGAUCCCUGUGUACAUGUAUGUGUGGNNNNNNNNNNNNNNNNNNNNNNNNNNNNNNNNNNNNNNNNNNNNNNNNNNNNNNNNNNNNNNNNNNNNNNNNNNNNNNNNNNNNNNNNNNNNNNNNNNNNNNNNNNNNNNNNNNNNNNNNNNNNNNNNNNNNNNNNNNNNNNNNNNNNNNNNNNNNNNNNNNNNNNNNNNNNNNNNNNNNNNNNNNNNNNNNNNNNNNNNNNNNNNNNNNNNNNNNNNNNNNNNNNNNNNNNNNNNNNNNNNNNNNNNNNNNNNNNNNNNNNNNNNNNNNNNNNNNNNNNNNNNNNNNNNNNNNNNNNNNNNNNNNNNNNNNNNNNNNNNNNNNNNNNNNNNNNNNNNNNNNNNNNNNNNNNNNNNNNNNNNNNNNNNNNNNNNNNNNNNNNNNNNNNNNNNNNNNNNNNNNNNNNNNNNNNNNNNNNNNNNNNNNNNNNNNNNNNNNNNNNNNNNNNNNNNNNNNGGUGGGAGUGAGGCCCCUGGCCCUGCCUAUCCUGCCCCUUGCCUGGCUCCCCCCUCCCCCCCUCAAGGCGCUAAUACAACAGACCCUCUAAGAGGUUCCACUCCUCCCUUCCCCGCUCACCUGCCGCAGGAAGGCCAGGUCUGGUUCGUACAUGAUGAUGAAGGAGGGGCGCAGCCGCCACAGCACGAACUCGUCAUGGCCGUCCAAACUUACAAAGUGAACAUCCUGGAGCAAUGCCUGUGAAGCAGUAUCACUAGCAGUAGCUGCAGGAGAGGACAUUCCAUGGCCACCACCUGCUACAGCGCCAUCAUCACUACAUCCCGCUGUAGCAGCUACAGCCGUGGCCGAAGGGGCUGUUGACGGCUGCGGCGCCGCCGCAAUAGCAGCAGCAGUAGCAGCCACCUUCCCUCGGGCGGUGACCUUGUCACCAGUGACACUUUCCCCAGCCUCCGCCGCAGUAGCAGCAGCUGUACUGCGUCCACGGCCCUGGCGGCCUAUUGCCCUGCUGCUGCCGCCGUUUCGGCGCCCCUGCCCUGCCGUACCCCGACCUCGAUAAGACGCCGCCGCCGCACGACUCUGUGGCGGCUUGCCGUACACCCCCUCAUCACCUUGAAAGUCCGACCAGUCGUCAUCACUCGCUCUAUCCCCCACAUUGCUGCCUGCUGCAGCUCCCCCCUCAUCCUUCUCCCCUUCCAGCACCGCCACCUCCAUCUCCAGCUGCUCCUCCUGUUCGGAAUCUGCUGCUGCCGCUGCUGCCACCCGCACCGGUGAAUCAUCCGGCUUGCGCUGCCGCCUGCUGCCACCGCUACUGCCACCCCGCCGGCCCCUGGGCCCCCGGCUCUGACGCCCGGACGCAUCCGCUGCUGGGACCGUUGCGGCGCUGGUGCCGGUGCCGCCGCCAUCUCCCCCCGCGAGCCUGGCCCUCUUUGCUGCCCGACCCGGCCCCCGCCCCCGGACCUGCGCCGCCGGCUCCCCCCGCGCCACCCCCACACGGUGGGCCUCUGCCAAAAGGGCCUGAUGCUCCCCCGGCCGCAACACCGGGCCGUGACUGCACUCGUCACCAUCACCGCCGCCACGGUACCGCUUCCAGCCGCCGCCGCCACCACGGCCGCGCCCGGAGCCGCGGCUGCCGCCAGGUGCGGCUGCACCGCCGUCCCCGCCCCCGGCAGCUGCAUCGCUGCCGCGACGUCCUCUUUCCGUCGGCUUCAACUUGCUUAGAAGGUACGACUCGUACAACUGCUGCAUGACUGGACGGCCGCCUGAUGAGAGUCCACAUGUACGGCAAGAUUCCGAGAGCGGAGUCCCAACAUGUGAUGUAAAAAUGCAGUUCAGAGGGUUGCAGAACCAGGUGGGCGUGUGGCCGUGUGGGCGGAAGAGAAAAGAGGUAUGAUGGCAGCACCAGUCGAGCUGCACCCCAUUCCGUCUGAUGUCUAAAUAUGGCAGUUGGUGGUGAGAGGUCGGGAGCAGCUGAUUAGCGCGGCUCACACACACAGACACAUUACACUACCUCCCCCCUGACGUAUACGCGCACACACAACGUAUUGGACGCAUAUGCCUGACGAGCUGCAACCCCCACUCCCAAGCAUUGCCUGCUCGCAGCCCCGCACCCCCCUGCCUGCGACCCCUCUUCUUUCCCCCGUUCACACCGUCCUCCUCACCUUCCCGCACCACCCUCUCCAGCAACCUGGUCGAGUGCAGCUCCCUGACCACCACCAGCACGGGCCCCCGACCCGCCUCCGCGAGCACACGCAGGUCGCCAGCGGUCACCUCCACAACCCCACUGCCACUGACCCCGCUGCCGCCCGCCGCAUCGGACCGCUGUUCCGCCGGGCCGCUGCCUCUGCCGCCCGCUGAUGUCAUCCCUCCUCCUCCUCCCCCUUCCCCGCCCCCCAGCAGACCCAGAUCCUCGAGCAACGCACGUAGGGACUGGGCGGUGGGGGUACCUCCACAGCCCCCAGCUCCGGAACCACCAACAACGGGAGGUGGUUGAGGCCGGCGGUCUGCUACAGCGGGCGCUGCUGCCGUGGCUGUAGCCCUCCUUCCGGCCCUGUGUCCCUGCUCCCCCUGCUCGUCCCCCAGGUCAUCAUGCUCGUCCUGGUCCUGGUCCCCAUCCUCGCUCGCAUCACUGGAAGCCGCCAGGUCCACCACCUCAACCUGAAGCUCCGGGUCGGGUGAGGCUUCAGCUUCCGUUGCAACCGUUACCGCCGCUGCCGUCUGCGGCCCACCUGACCCACGGGUCGCGACUGCUCCCGACUCAGAACCCUGACCUUGGCGAGGACCGGACGACGGCGAGAUUCGCGGCUUCUGAGUCCCGGUAGCCGCCCUGAACCCUGACCCAGUUCCCCCUGCCGCUGCCGGUGCCGGUGCCGGUGCUGGCCGGGCUGUGCCCGUGUUGUCGGUGCGGGGUGGUUGUGGUGUUGAUUUGUGUUCCUGUGCGCCCGCCCGCAGCUCCCGGGUCAGUGUCCGAGCCAGUGUGGACAGGUCCUCCACACCCGCUAGGGCCCUCAGCUGCCGGCGCUGCCUCUGCACCUCCCCCAGCACCUCCCCCAGCAACCCCCACUUGGGCGGCUCCUCCAGGAUAGCCUCCACCUCGGAGUGACACCCGCUGCCACCGCCACCGGCACCGGCACCGGCACCGGCUGAGGCGCUGCUCCCCCCCGCCGCCACACCUCCUGAGGUGGCCCUAGCCGCCCGGGUGCCGGUUCCGGGUCUGGAUCCGGAGGCGCUCUGAUGACCUUGCUGCUGCUGCUGCUGCUGGCGGUAGAUGUAGACACGGCGGCGGGCCUGUGACCGUAUGCAUCGCACGUGCGCACAUGGCCUGGUCGGUAACCAGGUGGUUAGGUAGUGUGGAGUUGCGGCUGCAACCGAGGCCAUUAUUGCGGCUACGAAUAACCCUUGCCCUCCGCACGGACUGACGAUCUGGAGCCUCAUUCCACACGCACCCAUCUGAGCUACUGGUACUAGUGCUGCUAUGACUAUGUCGGUAUUAGCAUGUGUCCAGGGCCACCCCCCUCCCUCCCCUCCUACCUCUGCUCCCCUGUCAUGGACUCUCCCACUCCCCGAGUGGUUGUGUGGUUAGACUAAUAACUCAACAACUCCACGACGAUAAAUACAAGCACACACGUACCUCGUAUAUCUCAGAUGCCCCACAACCACACAUACAGCCGCAUCCGCACCUGCUCGUAAAUGGCGUGUGUUGCAUCAUGGAACAGCCACAUGCAGCGCACCCCCUCGCUCUGCCUGAGUCCCUCCAGGUGCGCCAGGAAGGUCACGCAGUCGGCGGACAGCAGCAGGGCGGAUAACUCCCGCAGGGUGCGCAGGUCGCUGAAGGAGGUGGGGGAGGGAGGGAGGGAGGGAGGGAGGUGUCCAAGGAAGGAAGACCUCUCGAGUUCGGGAGGGGCGGGGAGGCAGAGGAUCCGCUGCCUGGUAGUCGUUAAGAGGGGCGGGGAGGGAGGCAGGCCCCGCGGAGGUGAAGUAACUGGACGUGUACGGACCUAGAGCGCAGGGCCGAGAUGUCGAUGUGGGUGUGGGUGAAGGUGGGUACGGGGUGCCGUAUGGGGCCUUAGGGGCGGGCAACACCCCAGCUGGGAUUCCCCCCUAGGCCACCGGUUCCUGGAUACCCGUCAUUUACACAACGUGACCAGCUCGGCCACCCAACCUCCCACCGCUUGCGGGUUUCAGCAAAGCAGAUGCUCCACCCGUCACGGGAAGGGGUUGGCUCCAACCCCGCACCCCAGCCCAUCCCUGCAAUCAGCCCAGCCACCCAUGUCGUACUAACCACUCACGUGCAUAUUCUCCGGGUCUUGUAGCUGACGGUGUGCCAGAUGGGGUCCAACUGUCGACGUACGAUUUCGUCGAAGGCGCGCAACACACCGUUCUCCAGCACCAGCUCAGUCCUGAGGUAAACCGGGGGAAGGGGGGAGGAGGAGGGAGGGGAGGGAGAUGUGAGGCAGGCAGGCAGAUAACGUCCCCCGCUGUCUGGAAACGUCCCUUAACACAACAUCAUGUUUAGUGAGCGCUCUAUUGCGGGGUUGGGCGGUGGUGGCCGCUGCAGGGGCUGAUGGAAGUACUGCUGUAGGCCGGUAGCGGUCCGGAAACCAGCAUGCCCGGCUGAUGGCCAGGGCUCAACAUAUGAUUACACCUGUACGGCUCCCUGUACGGCCCCUAUACAACAGCUUUAGGAGCCCUUUGAGAUCGUUUCUGUGCCAGCCCUUUGCCGCCGCCGCUGUCUUGGUGCACACGCACUCUCGUCCCAGUGUUCCUCUCCCCCCACUGACAUGUCCAGUUUGUUGUUGGUCCUCCUCAGCUCCCGGAUGAGGCCCUCCAGCACCUCCACCAGGGCGGCCUGGAUGAGCACCAUGGGGCCGCUGAGCUCCUGGUCCCACUCAAACACCUGCGGGGGUUGGGGGGUAGUGGAGGAGGAGGGGCAGGGACUCGUCGAAGAGGGAAUGGGCGAGAGGAAAGAGAGAGAGAGAGAGAGGGGGGGGGAGAGAGAGGGAGAGAGACAGAGGGAGAGAGAGAGGGAGAGAGCGAGGAGCUCACCACGGGCUUGUGAUUGUCCAAGCACUGCCGUACAUGCUCCUGGAACCUAGGCCACAGAUGCAGCCGUUUCAGCCUCAGCGCCUUCAUCACAUGCUCCACGCGAUUGAAUCCACGGUUGAACGCACCAGGUGCAUCAGACAGGGCAUAAACCCAACACCCUCCUCCGCUGCCACCCCUGGCCGGCCCCGUCCGCGCGGCUGCGUCCCCCUCAGCUUUGAGCAGCGCCACUGCAAAGCCCUCGCCACUGGUGUCACUUGCGCGGUGAGCGUUGAGUAUGAGCAGUCCCCCAACCUCCCACGGCCUCAGUCUGCGAGCCAGCAGGUCCACCACCAGAAUUCGGGGGGUGAUGAAGAGGGGUCGACCUCCAGGGAGGGCCCUGUACAGCUGUACACGCUCUGCAGCAGGAAUUUCAUUGGUGAUGUCCACGGGGGCCUCCAGGGAGGGGUCGUGGCGGGCGAGCUCAGCAGUAAUGAGGGCUCGCUGCCGGGGCCCGGCGCCAAGGACGAGGACGCAGCCGGGGUGUCCAUCGCCGUCGAUGCCGCUGCCGCUGCCGCAAUGGAUACUUGUAUGAGCGCUCAAGGGUAGGGGUGUUGCGUCGGUGCGUUUGCUGGUUGAGGGGGCAGCAUUGGCAGGCGUUACGGAAAGGGAUAGCGAUGUGGCGGGAAAGGGCGUGGUGCCAGGUUGUUGUUGUUGUUGCUGUUGUUGCGCAGGAUGGUCUUUUGGGUCGCUGGAUGGGUUUAGGUGUGGUGCGCCAGCAACGCGUGCAUGCUGUGCAAUGCGGAGGAGGACCGCGGCGACGCGCUGCCAUCCAAGUCCCGCAGCGGUAAUUAUAAGGCAGUCUUCCUGAGGAUACAGAUUUUAAAAGGAGAAACAAGGUUGCAAAUGGGCCGGUGCAGGAUAGAGUACAAGGGCAUUUGCGAAGAUUUGCUGAAGCACACGCCUCAGGAGACGUUUUCUUCCAAGAUUUACUUGAAUGGCCUCUUCUAUGAGAUGCCUCUCGUAGGGCAGGAGCAUUAGCGACGACAACGCGGUUGCCUCAACUUGCUCCAUCUUUAGUCAGGUGCCAUCGGUGAUACAUUUAUUUUGGAGGAGAAUACUUAAGAAUUAUGGUAAUUCCCUUGCAUAAUAGGAAAAUCACUUCGCGAGUUCUUAGUCAUAAAGACUUGCAGAGCUCCUAUUGAUAGGCGUCCUACCGAAACACAUGACUUUGGUGCAAGCACCAGAAGCUGUUCUCCGAUUGCUUUAUGACUUGGGACACCCUGCGGGGCCCAUCAUACUAGUACGACCAACAACGGGUUACCGGCAAGCCGCUGCGAUCAUCAUCACCGCCACGCUGCCACUACGUUCGUUCCGUUCGCUCACCACCACCGCCGUCGCCACCAUCACUGCCUGAACCUAAGCAUAACCCCGUUCGGGUAUCUGUUUCGCAGGGUUUCCCUUUCAGCCCGAGCACUGUCCUUGCAGAGUCGUUCUUGUUCCCACAUCCAUCUGCCUUUCCUGUCACUUCGACUUUCCUAACUCUAUUAAGGGCACGCCUUCCCCGACGACGCGUCGUUGACUUGUUUUAGUUAGUUACAGCAGUAUUAGAGUAAACCAAGCCAAGAGCCAAGCUAAGAGCCCACUUCCCCCACCUGCUGAACAACACCACAUUUUCCUUGUCGGCACUGCACCUGCUCCAAUGAAGCCACUCCCAUUGCACUCAUCUGGUCUCUAGGACCUUCUUGGUGGUACCCAGGCCCGAAAUGUUUGCUCCAUACGACAGCAAAGGUCUGAUCUGGACGUCAAAGCACCGUCGCAUAAAAUUCGCUGAAACCCUGCCUAACCUUUUUUCGUGUUUUGGGCAAAGAGGUCCAGGAACACCGGAAAGGCGGAAACCAGUUACCGGCCUUUACUGGGAAUGUUCAACAUUUUGGUCACACUUCCAUGCUGGCGUGGCAAUUCCAAACACCGGAGCUGCCCUCGGGAAGCGAUAAAUACAUCUGCUUUACCGCCUAUGAUAGAUGCGUAGAUGCAAAAGUUCAUCUGCGCGGAACACUAGAAGGCGGUGAAUGGGGUUACUUCGUCUCCAGACCGUUCUGUAAAGCCUUCACAUGCGUGGCAGAGUUAAAAUCUGUUCUAUGCCCUGUGCCGUGAGUCAUACUUCAAGAUACUGCUGGCGUGUAUACUAUUGUUUUAUGUAACCAAACCACAACUGGAUGGUGGCGUCGGAAGACACCGAUUGGAAGAGUUUCGUCUGCUUAAAUAGCGGGGGAUGCAGCCAUCACAUGAAUCGUACAGCCAGUUCCGAAAUGGCGCGGUCCAGUCCCGGAAUGGUGUACCGUUGAUCCAUGCUUCCAAUCGAUGCCGGGGCUCCGCGAGCCAGGGACCAGCGUCCCAGUCGUAGCUUUUGCUAUGACCCCCGCCCAUACUUCUGCAAGUAUGGACUUCCGCCUGAGGCGGCGUUUACUUGUAGGCAUCCAUGACAGCUGACCCAGAGGUCGGAGCCAUAAGAUCUGACAGAAAGGCGGCAAAAUAGGCAGUUGGAAUUCAGUUAGUUCCAGCGAACUUGUCCAGCAACCGCGCCAAGCGAGAAAGGAAAAACUAGACAGAAACGGUAUCAGUUUGGGACCAGAUUUAAGAAGCGGAAUACAACAACUAUCCCCCCUCUAGAUGCAGCAUCCUCGAUGCAUGGUAAGAAACUGGCAGAGCAGAAUAGUAGCGCGGGAGCUAAACACUUACCUUUAACCCCCAAAUCUUACCUCGCCCGUGCUCGUUGCCGUGCUUCUUCCAGCAGAGGUUUCAGACCAGGGGUCAAGUUAGCUUCUGGUUCGCAACUGUUGUGCUCAGCCGAGUACCCAGCCCAUUUGACAAGAUACUCGUGCACAGUGAGCUUACGGUGGCGGUUUCUGCCUACUUUUCGGGAACGGUAAUCCAGUAUCCGUUGAACCGCGUAAAAUGUCUGCUUGCCUGAAAGCCAAGUAACUGGUCCUGGCUCCGUGACCGUUAGCGCGUAAUAGCGGCGAGAGCCGACAGGUUACAGGACGGAUUCGCUCCGUCAAGUUCUGGGUUCGUUCCUUAGUAGGGAGCGUCAGAAGCGUGGGCUUCUGGAAUCUCUCUCACUGGUGUAUUGUUAGUUUGAUAGGUGGAUACGUAUCUAACCCAGGCUUCCUCCCGAGUAUAAAUACUCGUUGCUUAGGAGGCCGUAACAACUUCUAUUGUACGAUGUCCCUUCAGAUCCACAUUGGUUGCUCGAACCGAUGUGUCUGUAGGUAUCUCAAGUGCGUGUCAUUCCUUGGUUAGGAAGCACGCCUAAACUCCAAGAUAUUCGUAGACUGUUCGUAGAUCAGUCUUAUCAAGUCGUGUCUUAAUCACGCAGCGAUUAAGUUCUGUAACGCUCUAACGCGCUACAACAUCUGACCCCCUCUCUAGGCGCCUGCUUCCACGCGGCGCGCAGUCCAAUAGGCAUCAAUAAGAGAUCUAUCGGGGAAAGCAGGUUCUUCAAUCCAACUGUUAUUCUCAUGUCCAUGACCAACCCAUUUCACGAGAUAUCGUGUCAGGGUUCGGUUUCGGAGUUUCCGUUGAUCAUGAUCUAGGAUGCGUUCAGGUGUCCAUACAGAGGUAGAACCUUCAAGUUCCAUUCCCACUGUAGGGCGAGGUGGUUGUACGGUGCCAUCAGAUCGAUAAGGUCGUAACAACGAUACAUGGAAUGCUAUUCCAUGUACGUAGUACGUUAUGGAAACGAUAUUCCUCUGGAAGGGUCAGUCUAGCAGCAGCAGGAUUGAUCAUCUUCUCAAUCGUGAAAGGUCCAAUCCAUUAGGUAAAAGCUUCUUCGAAGCUUUCUGGAGGGUUAAAUUCUUCGUACUGAGUAAGACUUGUUGUCCUUCAGUAAACGACACAUCACGUCGUCCUUUAUUCUCUUGCUUAGUCAUUCGAUCUUGCGCAGCCAUCAAAGCAGAUUUAGCAGCAGCAAGUUCCUUGGCAUAACCCUUAGCAACGGGAACUGCGUCACCGAGUUCGAGUUGUACAGGGGUCUUAGGAUGAUAGCCAUAAUUCAGGAAGAAUGGACUAACUCCUGUCGAGCAGUUCUUCGAGUUAUUAAUCGCAAAUUCGGCCGGUCCGAGAUAUAUCUCCCACUGUGAAGGUUCCUGAUCACAGUAGUUUCUCAACAUGUCUCCAAGGACGCGGUUAACUCGUUCUGUCUGACCAUCAGUCUGAGGAUGGAAAGCAGUACUCAUCGCCUGCUUCACCUCUAGCCUCUUCAUGAGAGAGGUCCAGAAAGCACCAGUAAACUUGGUGUCACGAUCUGAGACGAUGGUGUCUGGUAAUCCGUGAAGCCGUACCACGGUGUCAAAGAAUAAAUCUGCAGUUUCUUCUGCAUCUAUUUCUUUCUUGCAUGGUCGUACAUGCACCAUCUUAGUCAGUCGGUCUACAAACACCACAAGGGAGUUGUAACCUUUUCUAGUCGAGGGCAAUCCGAGUACAAAGUCCAUUGAGACGCUACUCCAAGGUCUUUCAGGAAUCGGCAGAGGUCGAGAUAGACCUAGCGGUUUGCCUGAUAAAGCCUUAUUCCGUUGGCAGAGAUCGCAGCAUGCGACAAAGUCUGCAACGUUAGCUUUCAACGUAGGCCACCAGAAAUUCCGUUCAACCAAAUCAAUGGUUCAACUUUGGAAGUUGGCGAACUUUCAGAGGAGGAGAGCGCGCCUGGCGGAGGCUGCUGGCAGGCGACCCGUGACACACUCUGUCCAGUGCCGCCAAAAGUUGGCGAACUUUCAGAGGAGGAGAGCAUGCCUGGCGGAGGGUGCUGGCAGGCGACCCGUGACACACUCUGUCCGGCGCCGCCAAACGUUGGCGAACUUUCAGAUGAGGAGAGCACGCCUGGCGGAGGCUGACGGCAGGUGACCCGUUACACACUCUGUCCGGUGCCGCCAAAACUUGGCAAACUUUCAGAGGAGGAGAGCACGCCUGGUGGAGGCUGCUGGCAGGCGACCCAUGACACACUCUGUCCGGUGCCGCCAAAAGUUGGCGAACUUUCAGAGGAGGAGAGCAUGCCCGGCGGAGGCUGCUGGCAGGCGACCCGUGACGCACUCUGUCCGGCGCUGCCAAAAGUUGGCAAACUUUCAGAGGAGAGAGCACACCCGGCAGAGGCUGCUGGCAGGCAACCUGUGACACACUCUGUCCAGCGCCGCCAAACAUUGGCGAACCCAAUCGUCCUGAGCAGCUUGUCGGUGAUGCCAGUGUUCAACACGCACAGGUUGCAUGUGUGGGACGCAUGCAUCAGCCACAGGCACUCCUGGGUGAACCCGCCAUCCAAUGCCUUGUCCAGAAUGAUGACCAUGACGUCCAGCGGCAACGGUGCGCAAGGCACAGGGUCUGCCACCAGACGCAAGCGAACGGCAACAUUGCACAGCUCGUGCACAGAGAUUGUGUGGGGGAUGGGUGCAGUCCGGGAGUGCACGGUGGCGGUCUCCACCUGACGUGCACCAUGCACCUUGAUCCUCUACUGCUCUUCCUUGUUCCUUGGCAUUGUUGCAGGUGCAAUGUCACUCUCACAAUCUCCCAGUGCAAUCCGCACAGGGUGUCCCACUACAGUGCAGUAGUUGCAGUGGAAUUCCCAUGUGCGGAAAGAUCACCAUGCCCCCCAUGCCCCCACGGCAAUUUGACAACAUCCGAGACGUGUACAUGGAAGGGGAUGUCGGUUUCGUCGGUGUCGAGAAGCUGCUUGGCAAGGUCAAGCACGGGCAACUGCAGCUGCCACCCGAGCAGACAUGCAGCAGUGCCGCUCAGCAGGCAUACCGCAACAUUUCGACAGUGCAGCACUUUCACCUGCAUCUGAACUCCUACUGCAAUGGGUAUUUUUUGUGCAUCACGGCGCCCCCUGGUGUGUUCCAAAUCGACACGAUGCACCUUCCACACGAUGGCAUGAGCUCGGUGGUGUUCACGCUGGUGAUCAUGCACAUCCUGCCACGCUAUGCAUUCGUCUACCUCAUGCACACCAAGGUGAACGACAGUGUCAUGGAUGCAUUUCGAAAGUUUGUCAGAGAGUUGCACGACUUCCCCAUCUUCCAUGCGCACCUGGCCAACGACGGCGCCAAGGAUGAGUGGCCACGGUACUUCAGCCUGGAUGGCGACCGCGCGGUGUACAUUGGUGGAGUGGAGGGCAAAUCGUGGGGACUGGUGGGCAUGGUCACCCAGGCCCUCGAAUGGUCGGACCGUGGCCUGGGCAGGGCUUCUCAAUGAAGGUACAGCUGAUGGUAUGGCUGAUGGAUAACCGAAUGAAUGUUGUGCACAGGGACGUAUUGUGAAGUAAUAGGUAAUGGGAGUGGCACAUUACUAUGCAAAUCGACAGAAAUUGCUUGGGGCCCGUUCCAUACGUUGACUGACUAAAUCCUUCGUUGGAUAGUUGAUUGUUGGGGCAUGUCUGCUUCGCUUGUAUACUGGGGCGACUUUCUGGUGCCAGCCAGUACUAGUUUUCGAAGGGUCUUACCCGCGGGUCCAGAGCAGUAGGGGCCCUCAUGGUCGGUCUUGUGGAUGAUUUCAGCACUAUGAACUUAUUUCAGAAUACAGGACUGACUCUCUGUUUCCUGCUUGAACUAUAUAUGGAAGGGGCAAACCACUGUAACUUGUGCGUGUUUCUGCUAAGUUUUCCGCACUGUUUGCAUUCUCAAAGCCAUUCUUUCGUAAAACCGUCAUAAGAAUGCUUGAGACUGGCAUAAGAUCAUUCUCAGCAGCACCAGCAUUCUCAAGCCGUUCUUAGCAUUCUUAGCGUUCUCAGGAACAUUCUUUAGCACGCUUCCAUUUUGGUAGGGAGAGAUAAGGAACGUAACUUGGCAUGGCAGCAAUUCCUAUGAAAGCAAGUACCAUUUGGAAGGUUGUUUGCUUUGUUUCAGCACGUACAUACGCAGAGACGCGCAACGGACGAAGCUGCAGCAUCAUCACAUGGAUUCACCAGCAGAGCACGAAAUGGAUGGACAAACCGAUCAUGAUUUGCCAAUGGUGGAGGCACACAGGAUGAGGGAUGUAUAGGUUUUUAAGUAGAGCUUCAGGCUAUCCUUCAAUUCAGACGUACUUCCAUGGGGUGGAAAUGAUGGCUGCGUGUGGCAAUGUGUCGAUGCAUAUGCAAGGCCAGUCCAGGCCACUGACUCGGAGCUAAUCGAGCUAGCUAACUGAGCCUAUCAUCGAUGAUAUCAUGACGUCAGACUUCCAUUUUCAGUCUACUAAACAAGGCAGGAAAGAAGUAAACUACUGUACAAGAAGCAGAAAGAAAUAGGAAAGAGAGGCCGAAACAUGAAGCAGAUCAUUGCAAAUCCCGCCGCCAAGAACAGACAGGCAUAGUCUCAGAAGGCGACCUCCCCACAGCACAACUUGAGCACAUACAGUAGGAUGGCAGCCACACAGCACCAGAAAGUCAGUAGGGAACUGAGACUGAAAUCGUGCCCACCGCGGAAAAUCACACGCCUGCUAGCGUGGCGUACUCCCACAUCGGCACGCAGCAUGAAAAAGCUUAGUGGUCGUUUGCGGUGCAUCCUUCCGGCUUUGGGCACAACAAGCAAGUGAGAACUGGGCGAGAAAGCAGCCGCUUCGUCCUGCUGGAAGCAAGUCCGCAGCCACGUCCAGGAACACUCUUAGAGCAUGAACGGGUCGAAUGCGAAAGGUGCCAUAGCUUUACAAAGAGCACCUAUCCGGCUCAGCUCAGCAACAACCUCACUACUCAACUAGCAUCCUAGACCGAUGAGACAAGCAUCAGCGUAGCCUCUUGUACCAGCAAAACGGUUGUCCAAUGAGUACGGAUUAGGGCUCUGAAGUGCAACCGAAACCAACCACCAAAUAUGCAUAAGGCAAGCACACUGCCUGACAACAUUUCAUUCAACCAGGAAAUUUCAUGAAUUCGAGAGCUCAUAAUUAACUUUCAAUUUGAAACGCGUUAGUCGAUUCUUCGCUGGUCUUCACGUCCCUCCAAUGCCGAAAUUAUGUACCAAAAGGCAAUGCAGACCGCCCAGGGGAACCUAUGACAGCAAUAAGCAGGCUCACGAAGGGUUUGCACAUCGGUUCCCUUUAUUUGUCGUCACUGCGACGGGCUUAAUCAACCGCUCGUCCAUGAAAUGCUGAAGUGCUGAUCUCACAUUUUCCUUGUUCACACAAGGAACAUAUACAUAUCUAAUAUGAAAUUUUCACGUUUCCCUGUGUCCCGCUGUUUUUGUCGUCUCGCAUAUGAUACAUCCUCCUUCUCAUGAAGGUUCCAUCGAUGGCAAAGGUGCUAAUUUUCAAUUAAACUUGAUCUACCUGUUCAUGUAUACUGGAAAAUUCGCGCUCUGCUGGUAUCUGCCAGGUGUCCGCUUCCUAAUGUGGUGAUUGAACCCCUUUGUUUCUCCUUUCUGCCUACAUUCAUCCUAUACAUACUCCGUUGCCUUAUCUAUAAUGACAAUAUACUGUCAUAAACGUUAUGCCCCUUUUGACCUGCCUCGACAUCCAUCCUUUUCAUUUUUGCUUUGGUUAAGUUUAUUUUGCGUGGAGAACAUGCUAGAAAGGUCUAGUCAGUACAACAAGGCUUUCGCAAAAGUCCAAUUUCGCAAACGGGCUCCGCCUUUUCCUUGUCCCCGAGAAACUGCGAAGGGGAAACCGCGAAGGAGAAAUCCCGAAGGGAAAACACCGAAGUGUUAACCCAAAGAGUUAACUACUAAACCAAAGGGAACCAAAGUCAUCACCCUUUGGUUUAUUUGUUAACCCAAAGGGGUUCGUUACGUAGCCCGACAAGGCCGAAAACUGUAACGUUUCCUGAAACAAUGUGACAAUUUCACAUUGUAAUGACAAAAGGAAUAAACCUUUUGUUUCCCCUCCGGGUUGAUCCCCGGAGGGGAUGAAGGGAACCAAAGGCAACCCAUAGUGCCUAUGGGUUGUUGUGAUAUACUAUUACAUUUUAUAUCUGGACUUUUUAAGUGAUUAGUUGUUGCUCCAUAGGUAAAUGCCAUGCCAUUUUCUGUUACAUGUAAUGAAAGAGAGAAAAGGACUGAGAGGCCCGAAGAAGACGGGCCUUACGAAGUAACGCGCGCUGAACAACAAAAACAAGAUAAGCUAACCAGCUUAAUGCGCGCAAUAAAUCUCGGCCCUGAGGACACGGGCCGUUGCGAAACAGUUAGUCUAACAGUUACGCAUUGGGCCUUACGCCCAACUAACCCAGCUUACUUACGCAAGCUCGCAUUAGUUGUUGCUCCAUAGGUAAAUGCCAAAGGAGAAGAUACCCCCUCUAGCGGAACUGAGCACCAAAACGACGCAACGCGACGGGCCGCUAGAGGGACAAAGGACGCGAGAGCUGCCAGACAGGCACGCACACCGACACGAAAGAGAGCUCCCCAAGCAAAACGCCUCAACGACCUCCAAACGGUACCCCAGCAGCAAGGACAGCGGACACGCCACCUCUACGCAGGCAAAGAGCGAACAAACAGAACGCUGCCAAAAACCACAAGUACGAGGUCAAACCAGCGCUCUCCAACCACGCACAGACUGACCCACCGGCCACAAACGCGACGGAUCCCUCAACAACGGCUGACGGACGCCCACUGAAGGAAGGGACGAUAGACACGCGAGAAUGCCAAACAUGUGCCCGCUAAGGGUUGACCAAACGGCCAACUAGGGCUUGAACUGAAACACCGGCUCUGCAAUAACGACCGCUCCACGCGCCCAGGGCACUGACAGCAGGGAUACGGACGACGAAACCCAGCACGACAAACAGCAAAGUCGGGCCACCUCCGAACCAACGGGUACAACGGCCAACUGUUCAAAGAAGCCACACAGCAUCUGCAAUAAAGGCCAACACAAAGAGAGCCUGACAGAGCCACGGAGCGCUGCAAAUGCGACCAACUACUAUAAAAAUGCCGCCAGCAGGGGCUGUCUCCAGCACAGGGCGCUUGGGUAACCGAGCAAGUCAUACACGGAGCUCACGGAGUUCACGGAAAAUAAGGCUGAGCAGCACGGGCUUGGAUAAUCUCUUGGCAACUAGAACUGACCCCACAGGAGCCCGACAUAAACGGAGUCAGAAAGAGCCCCAGCCUACCGCGACACAGAAAACGCACAAACACAGCGAAGCAAAGCUGCCAGGUCUUAGCACCAACCCUGGGACAAGGCAACCUGGCAACCGGCAAAGACAUGCGGAAUGGACCAACCUAGGCCGGCGAGCGACAGCUGCGAUACCAACAAGUUAUCAAAGACCGGGGAUGUCGCAACGGAUUGCAGAUCCAGCAAGAAACCGGGACCUAUUCCGCGCCAAAGGCACUACUCAAACUUGGUCCCAAAACCAGCGGGGAGGGAACCAGCAGAACCACCGGAUACCAAGCAAGCGAAAACGCUCCGAAAUCACGAGAAACAAACGCAGGCUUAACACAAAGCGACGAAAAAACCAACUACCUGCGCGGUGUCUAUGGAGCGCACACCUUAACACAACAAAUCCCUUCCUAUUCGCUCCACAUAACUGCAUAACUGCUCCCCUGCGCAAAGCCACUACAGCGUUACCUCAAAGACGGUCCCACUGCCCCUACAACAUAUAACGUGCCCCACGGGGAAGGGGGAAUGCUAGGAAAGCGCUCCUAGCGGGGCACACACGGCCGAACUUGCAGCGCCUCACGGAACGACCGAGUGCUAUGCAAAGCGCCCACAUGACGACUGCACCCGCACUGCCACGACCUGCCAAGAAGGGGGUGGUAGGUAGGUGCUCGACCCACCCUCGCCCUGCGCAAACAGCUCCGUAUUGGACGGCAGGAACACAAUGUCAACCGCCAACUCCAUCAACUGUUGCCACCAAGGUUGGGCCGUCCAGUACGGCACGACUAGGGUGAGGCACCCUCCCUCCUCGCGCACUUUCUGCACCACAGCGAGCAAGAAGUCAGGGUCCAAGGGUGGGCAGCCAUAUGCAUUAAGCCCAGCCCACGAUUGCAAGAGAGCAUUGACCCCCGACGAACCCGGACAAUGGUGGCGAGAAAAGAAAACCGGGAGGUGUGUGUUAAUAUGCGUGGCAAACAAGUCGACAUGGUGCGGACCGAAGCGGUGCUCCAAAAGGCGGAAAAACCGGGGAUGCAAGCGGUAGUCAUCGCGAUCGACCCAACGCGAAGCUUCAUCUGCCUCGUUGUCAGCACUAGCCACACGCUCGACUUGCAAAACAAUACUAUGCUUCUGCAUGAAUUCCCAUAAUAAUUUUAGUUCGGCAUGCAGAGCUGCCGAGCGCGAGGAAAGACGCCCUAGCACUGCUUGCGUGCACAUGUUGUCCUCCCUAAUUAACACAACACGCUGCUGAACGAACGGGAGAAAGGACUCUAAAGCAUGACGGACAGCGCGCAACUCCUUCCAAUUGAUGUGCUCGUAGAGCUCUGGUGCCGACCAAUAACCGCGCGCCACACGACCAUGCAGGACCGCGCCCCACGAAUGGCAUGAUGCAUCCACUGAAAGCUCAACUGCAGCAGGACCCUGGUGAAUAGCCGCCGAGCAGUGGUGGGUAGGGAUGUCCGCCCACCAAUCUAAGUCACGUAACGACCCACGGGACAAGCGAACUCGACCGGACCAGCCAACCGGUUGCUUAAUGUCGUCGUAAAAAUUGUGGAGAAAUAAAGGCGCUGGAGUAAGGGCCAAUUUGACACUCUGCGCAAAACCGCAAAACUUAGCCAGCUCACGCUUCUGGACAAGACGCCGAUUUUUCAUAGCCGUGAUCCGCAACCCGAUCGCCAGCCGCCGCAAUUUGGCGAGCUUCUGCUUAGGCACCUCAAACACACCAGCUGCCGUAUUGAUCGUAAUGCCUAAGUGGUACACUGCCUGGGACGGCUCCCACUGGCACUUGGUGGGGUGACACGACAACCCCAAGAACUCGAUACUCUCACGCACCCAGCGUGCACCAAGACGUGCUUGCUCCUCAGAAGUAAACACGAAGAGGAAGUCAUCCAAAUACGGCAGCACUCGCGCACCCGGACGAGAAGGACGCCCUGUCCGGGAAACGGGAAAAAACUGGUGGGGCGGGAGCGGGGGCGAGAGACGCUUGCGACCUUUACCCGACGCAGCCAAAGGAUCCCGCCAAAAGCGCACCACAUUGCGCAUGAUUUUCGUAAACCAAUACGGACUAUUUAGCCACCCCAUAGGUAAGGCGUUCAUCUCGUACAGAACACCACAAAAACGAAAAGUGAAGAAACGCCGAUCCGCUGGGCGAAUAGGGAUGUGGUAAAAGGCGUCCGCCAAAUCCACCUUCACCAUCCAAGAGCCCUCGAGGCCCAUACGCCGCAGGGUGCGGAGGGUUUCGUACCGGCACUUGUAAGCUUUCUGCGCUACGUUCAUCCUCUUCAGGUUAACAACCAAACGCCAAGAACCACUGUCCGGUUUCGGGACACAAAAAGCGUUCACCACAUGAUCAACCGUACGGGAGGGGUCUACCCGCGAGAUGGCCCCGAGAGCCACCAGGCGAGGCUCCUCCUUCUCCAACCACCAACGGCUCUGUUCGUCUGUAGCAGGAAAACUUGGCAGGUCAAAAGCAGGCGGCGGGCGGUUACCUCGAAACUCCACCGGGACACCAUGCUUCAAGACGUGCAAAGUGCGCGCAUCUGCUCCAAUUGCCUUCCAAGCUGUAACGAGCAUGAGCUGUUACAUUACUCUCAUUCGCCUAUUCGUUAUCGUUCGUCGGUGAAGUUUGGCCUUCGCCAUAGGGCCUUCAUCUAAUCUGGUUCGCUUUGCCGUACUUCCGUCGGUGGCCGGUCGAUAAGACGGCUCACCACCCAUCACUCGGGGUCUUUCGGUCCCACCACACAAGUGGAAUGCUUCUUAAAUAGGCUUGAUCAUUACAUUGGUAUCGAGACUUCUCGAUCCUAGUCUACUUCGCUUCCGCCGUCGUAUCUCAUGUCUGCUGCUGACCCUGUCGCGGCCAUUGCCGACCGCGACAAUGCUGUUGUUCAAGUCAUUAAUCGCGCUUCUUCUUUGUCGCUUACGGAGAAGGCGCCUACGUACCCGCGUUUCGACAAGUUGCUGGAGAUGUCUCCGGAUUCUCUUGAAAACCAGCAACUGACCCUGGCGCAGGGUUGGACUUUACAGAAAAUAGCAAUCCAAGAUGAACUCCAGCGAUGCGGGCUGCCAAUCCAAUCAGAGGACGUCGCGGUUGCUUUCAUCGCGGCGCUGGAACCCCGUUGUCUUCGCUUGGCUUUACACUCGGCUGUAGUUAUGCAGGGUGGAUUCUUUCCGAGUUUCGAGUGGCUUGAGGAUUGGUUCCUCAAGAACUGCGGCGAGAAUCCUGGGGGGGCUAAGUUUUGUGAACAGUUGGGCACAUCUGUUGGCGUUAGCACGUCCUGUGUGCAAGACUGCCCCGUUCCCAGUUGCGAGCCUCCGCUUCCGGCUCGUUCGUCUCGUUCGCCUGUCGCUGCUUCGCUAUCGCCUACCUCGUUGGGUACGGCUUCGUUUGGUAAUGCAAGUUUACUUCGUCUAAACAGACUUCGCCGUUGGUGCAACUCGCGCGUCAGGACGCUGUUGUCUUUGCUGCUCUUAUUGCAGAGCCUCGUCGAUCUUGUAAUACUAAGACUAAUUCGAGCGUUCCGAUUGCCUCUGCACUUAUUCCGUCGACUCGUAUACUUCGCACUUCCGAAUUCGAGCAGCUUCAGCGUUUGACUGUCGUCGACGGGAUUCGUUUGCCCCUCAGCUAUGUGCCCCAAAUUCAGUUCGACUCCGCACAGCUUUCUGUCUUCCAGCUGUGCCGGACAUCACGUUUUCGUUCAUCCGCCUCCCGCUCAUGCUAGGGAGUAUCUGUCGCACUACUUGAACUGCAAAAGUCUCGCACCGCAGUCAACAUCAGGUGGUUUUCUGUUGCCUAUGAUAAGUGUCGUUCUUCGUUGUCCGGCAUGACUCAGCUUCGCACGUACCACGCUGGUUAUCACCUGUAUGAUGUUGUGGCUGCGGUAGGCAGGCGUCGUUCUGCAGGUUUAACCAGUCCUGUCGAGUUCUGGUACGACCCUCCGGUAUCUGCUUCUGAUGCUGACGUCGCCCCCUUACCUUUCUCCGUUUCGGAAGGUUUGACUAUGCAGUUUCGAGGUAAAGUGUGUCAGUCCGAUGCUUCCAUCCUCAUCGAUAGCGGAAGCAUGCCUUCAGCCCUUUUAAGUGCAGGUUUUGCUCGACGCAUCGGUUUGGCGGUUCAACCGUCGGACAACACACAUCCCGCCCUCACCGUCACUUUGGGCGAUGGACGGACUACGACUUCGGUAGGGUUUGCUGAGGUACCUAUUCGUUUGCAGGGUUACAAGGCUCGGUUGCAGUGUGCUGUGCUUGAUCUCGCUCCUGGUUAUGACUUGGUGCUGGGUGACCCCUGGGUUACGUCUGUCGGUGCUGUGCUUACCCCGUAUGCCUGCAGCGCGCGUUUAACUCGCCAUCCUGGUCAACCUGUACUGAAGUCUAGCCCUUUUCCUAACCUACCCCCGUUGGAAGAGCCCUGUCAUGUCGGCUUUAUGCAGGCCAUUCGUGAAGGUUAUGAGUUCCUUCUCUGCAUGGUCUCUACUGUCGACUCGACCUCUUCCGCGUCUCCGCCCUCUGCUUCGCCUGAGCUGUCGUCUUUUGCUCAAAAGGUUUGCACUGUGGUUCCGGGCGACUCUCCUGCUGAGUUACGAAUGCGUGCUUUGCUGUUAGAUAAGGAGGGCCUGUUUCCGGACCAGUUGCCGGCUGAUCUGCCGCCCGAUCGUGGUUUGCCUUCCGUCAUCCCGCUAGAGCCUGGUUCUCGUCCGCCUGCUCAGCGUAUGUUCCGCUAUUCGCAAGCUGAACGUGACGAAAUGCAACGCCAGAUUACGCAGCUGUUGUCGCAGGGCUUCAUCGAGCCAUCUUCGUCGCCCUUCGGUGCGCCUAUUCUGUUCGCACGCAAAAAGGAUGGUACGCUUCGUAUGUGCGUUGAUUAUCGUCAGCUCAACCGCAUCACCAUCAAGAAUCGAUAUCCGUUGCCGCGUAUUGACGAUCUCCUCGAUAGGUUGCGUGGUGCAUCUGUCUUUUCGUCGUUAGACCUUACGCAGGGUUAUCACCAGUUGCUUAUUCGCGAGGAUGAGCGUGAGCGUACUGCUUUCCGCACUCCUUUUGGUCAUUUUCAGUACAAGGUGAUGCCUUUCGGUCUAACUAAUGCUCCGUCUGUCUUUCAGUCCGCAAUGAAUUCCAUUUUGCAGGACCUUCCGUUCGUUGUGGUCUACCUCGACGAUAUUCUCAUCUUCUCGCGUACCGCUGAUGAGCAUGUCGACCACGUUCGUACGGUUCUGGAGCGUCUGCAGCAACAUCGGUAUUACUGCAAGCUCUCGAAGUGUGAGUUCUUUAAGCGUUCUGUCACUUUCUUGGGACACGUAGUUUCGCCUGAGGGUGUUCGUCCUGAUCCGCGCAAAACUGCUGUCGUACAAGAGUGGCCGAAGCCUCGCAACAUUUCGGAGUUACGUUCGUUUCUUGGUCUUGCCAACUACUUUCGAAAGUUUUUGCAGGGCUAUUCGCAGAUGGUCGCUCCCCUUACGUCCCUUCUGUCGUCCAAAGCUCGCUGGCCUGAGGACUGGGACGAAGGAUGUGAUCGCGCCUUCGAGCAGGUCAAGAAAGCCUUGUCUUCCGCUCCUCUGCUGGCCCUUCCAGAUCCGUCGCUGCCUUAUGAGGUUAUCGUCGAUGCGUCGGAUUUUGCCAUAGGUGCUAUUCUGCUUCAGCAAGGUCGUCCGAUCGCUUACGAAAGUCGUAAGUUGAUUCCUGCCGAACGUAACUACCACACUUCUGAUCGUGAGUUGCUGUCUCUCGUUCAUGCACUCAAGGUUUGGCGUUGUUACUUGGAAGGUGCGAAGUUCACUGCCGUCACCGACCAUAAGCCCAACCUUUCGUACCCGACGCAAGCUCAACUGUCUCGACGUCAGGCGAGGUGGUUGGAAUUUCUUGAGUCUUUCACGUUCGACUGGCAAUAUCGCGCAGGAGUUUGCAAUCCCGCAGAUCCUCUGUCUCGGUUCCCGGGACACAGUCACGCGUGUCUGAUGAUGGCAAUUUCGACUCGCGCCACUCCGAGUGGGGAUGCUUCCGCCUCUUCCGCUGGCGUCAUCUCAGAGAUAUCGACCUCUUUUCCAGACUUAGAGCGGUCGCUUGUCGAAGGUUAUUCGUCUGAUCCUUGGUUCGCCGAUCCGUCUAAUACGGCGUCUCUGCAAAAGCAUGAUCGUUUCUGGUACAAACAACAUGCUCUUGUGAUCCCUAAUGAUUCCAAACUUCGUUCGCACAUUCUGCAUCUCUGUCAUGAUCAUCCGAUGGCGGGUCAUGGUGGGGUGGCCAAAACGUUGGACCUGGUUCGUCGUCAGUUCUGGUGGCCGAAACUUCGUACGUGCGACAGUUGUCAGCGCGUUAAGUGCUCUAACGAUCUUCCUGCUGGGAAGCUCCUUCCGUUGCCCAUUCCUGGCAAAUCGUCACUAUGGAUUUCAUUACGGAUCUUCCUUCUGAUUCGGAUGGGUAUACGGCAAUCUACGCCUUCGUUUGCAAGCUUACCAAAAUGACUCACCUUGUUCCGUGUCGCAAAGAAAUCACUGCGGUGGAGUCUGCUAAGCUUUUCGUUGAUACCGUUGUUCGUCGGUAUGGUUCCCCCGCGAUCCUUGUUUGUGAUCGGGAUCCGCGUUUCCGUUCCGCUUUCUUCACGCAUCUGUGUGAGGAUGUGUCUAUCGACCUCCGUUUCAGUUCGGCUUAUCAUCCGCAAACUGAUGGUCAAACUGAACGUGUGAAUCGUACCCUCGAGGAUAUUUUGCGUCACUGCGUUGCCGGUGAUUAUCGAUCCUGGUCUCGUUUCCUUUCCAUGGCUGAGUUCGCCAUGAAUAACUGGGUGCAUUCCUCUACCGGUACUUCUCCGUUUCGUCUGAUGUACGGUUUCGAACCUCUGACUCCUAGUUCUCUCUUGGCUCGCCAAGUGGGGGGGGAGAAGGCGCGUGCUCUUCGCAACGCCGUUUCCGUACGUUUUGCAUCUGACAUGCAAGGUGCGCUUGAGCGUGCUAAGCGUUGUUUGGCUGCACAACGUGAUCGUAUGAAGCGUUUUGCUGAUCUCAAGCGUUCGGAACGUCAGUUCAAGCUUGGAGACGUCGUGUUGUUGAGCACUCAACACAUGCGUCUUGAAGGUCCAUGCAAGUUGCUUCCUCGUUUUAUCGGACCGUACGUUAUUAAGGCUAAGAUUAACGACGUCGCUUAUCGUUUGGACUUGCCUAAUGGAACGCGUAUUCAUGACGUAUUCCAUGUGUCUCUGUUACGGCCUUACUAUGAGAGUGAUCGUGCUCCGAAACCUCCGCAACCGGAGAUUGUGGAUGGUGAAUUGGAAUUCGAAGUCGAGGCAGUCCUUGAUCAUCGUGACGUGACACAAAAGCGUCAUCGCACUCGGUUCUUUCUAAUGCGUUGGAAGAAUCAAGGUCCAGAGUACGACUCGUGGGAACCAGAGUCGAACCUGACUAACUGUGCAGAUUUGCUGCGUUCGUAUUGGCAGACACGUAAAACAGCUGCUACCCUCGCGUCCCAACCUAAACCAGGAGUCACGCCUGUUGUCUCGCCGUCCUCCGUCUCGGACGUUCAUAAAACCAGAUCUGGGAGAGGUGUUCGUAAGCCUCCUCGUUUCUCUGCAUUUCUUCGGACUUUAUCUACUGCCAGUGGGGUGCCUGCGACUCUGCUUUUCCAUGCGCAAGCGUGGCGGCGUGGAUAAGUCGGCUGUCGGGACGACCAGCCAAUUAGGGGGGGAAGUAUGUAACGAGCAUGAGCUGUUACAUUACUCUCAUUCGCCUAUUCGUUAUCGUUCGUCGGUGAAGUUUGGCCUUCGCCAUAGGGCCUUCAUCUAAUCUGGUUCGCUUUGCCGUACUUCCGUCGGUGGCCGGUCGAUAAGACGGCUCACCACCCAUCACUCGGGGUCUUUCGGUCCCACCACACAAGUGGAAUGCUUCUUAAAUAGGCUUGAUCAUUACACAAGCGGCCAGCCGCGUCGAGGCCCUAGCAUGCAGGGGCACGGAGGUGGUGGACAUAUUGGACUAAUCGUGCUGCCCCGGAAACUCCACGCCUGGGGUGGUAGAGCCCGUCGCCACGCGGAAGGGAUGGGACGAAGCGCAGACAUAGUCACCACCGGUGUGGGCGGACGUCGAUUUCCUGAUCCGCUGAAGAGCAAACCUUCAGCGUCGCGCCCAAACCUCGGGGAUGAGCUUGAUAAAAUACGUCGUCAAGAGGACAUUUAGUGUUGUAGCUGCAGGGGCAAGCUUGUUGGGUCCGGGAUGGGCGGGAGUUGUUGACCCGCUCCAGGGGGCAUAAACUGCGUCGCAGAAGCCCUCGAGGAAAUGCCAGUCUGUGACAUUCCAGUUAGCUAUGUAGGAUAGCUGUGAGUUGCCUCCACCAGCGGAGUCAUGCCUAGCGAUACCGGGACAUGCGCCGCCACUAGCACUACUAAAGGUGCUUCAAUAAGGUGGGCUAACUCUAUGGUGCUAGUGCUUUAUAUUCUCCACUGCACUCUACCCGAUGGGUCUCGCUGACGAGCCGAAGGCACAGCGGUGUAGUAACAGAAAGCGCGCCGAAGGCGCGGGACCUGUUUUGUUGAUCAGCGCGCGCUGAACAACAAAAACAAGAUAAGCUAACCAGCUUAAUGCGCGCAAUAAAUCACGGCCCUGAGGACACGGGCCGUUGCGAAACAGUUAGUCUAACAGUUACGCAUUGGGCCUUACGCCCAACUAACCCAGCUUACUUACGCAAGCUCGCAUUAUUGCAAGCUACACCCAAAUCGAUAAUCAACAGUAGUACGGAAUACCCACAUAUACACACGGAUAUCUCUUAGAUAGAUUUUGAGGACGUCUUAUGUACACAUGUUUUUUGCGAACACAAUAUUGUAAUAAAGGAUUCAGGGGAAUAGUCCUCUGAUGCAGCAAUGCAUCCUGCAGCAGAUUCUGGCCGUAAAAAUGCUAGACUGCCAUAAAGCAUUCCAGCAACGAAGUAUAGAUUGCGUCUUGAUACGUUCUAUGGGUACAUGCAAGACUUCAUCUCCAAUGGCCUCUACAGCGUUUGGGUGCGGGACGCCUAUGUUAUCCCUUCAGCAGAACAAUAACGUAAUAGUGUGCAGGCAUGAUGCGAAUUUGCUUACGGAAGGCCCUUGAUAAAGUCUUAAUUGGGUUGAGGAAAUGUCAUAAUUAUAAAAGAACUUUAUUUUUGGUUCAGGGUGAAUUAUGAACGGUGGAUAGCAAGCUCGCUGCUCGCUAGCUUGCUCGCUGGUCAGGCUGGCCUACCUCAUUGCGAGCUGUACGGAAACCGCCGUGGGGCUGGCGACGAUACUUGUCAGCUUUUAAGGAUGUUUUGCUUUACUUAGGCCUUUAUGCUUGCAUUGGCUCGGUAUAUGGCCCCAAUGGAGCCGCCUUGGUGCAUGUGGCAGGCGUAGAUUGAAUUGUUUAUUCCUUCAAUCGCGACCAUGGCUUUUGGAGCGAAGAGCUCCCUAUUGGUUAUCUUAGCGGUUGCUUCAUGGGCUCGGAUUAUGAAUACGGGUGGGUGUCUGCUAGUCAUGCACUGGUCCACGCACUUACUUGCAGCCAAUUGGCUGGCGUCAUGCAUGGCAUCAAGCAAGCAUAACGUUAUUUCAAGGCUUAGACGUGCUUGCUCCACGCAAUACUGCAAGGUGGUAGGGAUGGAUUACUCAGCCUGCUUGAACGCGCACGGAACAGGAAUGGGAAGGAUAGCCACGAAUACUGAGGCCGAUGCUAGUAUCCAGUAGGCACGAAGUAGCUGAGGCAGUUUGUUUAAGAACAACUCCGAGAGCAACAAGGUCGCGUCGUGCAAGCUUACCGACAUUAUACAUAUAAAACUUUGCAUGCAUGUGCAGCAGGUUUAUCGCUGGCAGUGGCCGCUGCUGCUGCUGGAAACGACAGCAGCCACCACUUGCGGCGCUCUUUGGGGGAGACAACAAGUUCCAACAUGUCGACACUUGCUGCCGUCACCAGUAAGUUCCUUUACUUCCUUCACGCCUGCUAUGUAUGUGUUUGCUCUUGGCCAUGCGGGAAGCAAGAUAAGGUAUAACAAUUUGGGACUUACUUAUGAUGAAUAGGGUGAUUUGCUGGUGGUCAAAUCAAAAAAGUCAAAUCCUAUUCCAACAGAUCGUCCGAAAGGAUCUAUUGUCAGUGAAUGAUCAAAGCCCAACCAUACACGUGGGGCAAACAUGCACCAAUCCUUGCCGAUCGGGCCCAUGAGUUUUCGAAGCCAGACCGUGCAAACUGGACUGCUGAUCAGAGACAUGCCUCCGUCUGCAAAUUUCUGCUACUUGGUAACCCUUCGAACAAAAGGGGGCUCUGGCACCGAGGGCACAAAAAUGCUGAUCGCCCAUAUGUAUUCGUCCCAGCUGCCAAUGGCAUUUCCAACUUCCAGUACUACUGGUCUCAAUAAGCAAGAGCGUGUGGUGGAUUUUUAAUAUUGGGACUGGGAUUAUGUUGCCGGUAUGAAUUGUAUGUGUACAGCGAACGAACGUUCUGACUUAAACUUGGCUUAAACUGGCCACACAGUGUCUUAGCCAUGCAUGCAUGUGUGCAGCAUACGUGAAGCUUACUGUAGGAAUCUGGACAACCUAAGCGUGAUAACAACAAACACUGAAGUUGAAUGACAAUCAAUUGAGUUGCAUGCAUAUGUGUCUUAUGCACGGGCGGGAUGGCCAAGCACGGGACUGCAUAUUGCUGAUCGAUCGGAUCACAUCGGAUGUGAUGAUGUGCACGAAUGCAUUGAUGGAUGCAAUCACCUCAUACGUAUUUGGGUAUCGACCAACCAAUACGUAUGGUUGUGUGAAGUAGGGGGGUUUAGCUUCACCCGUGGCCACUAGCUUGGCAGUCCCUGCCUUCCCCCAUGUUUCGGGGCACCCUUAACCUUUCACCCAUGCCGGCUUCUGCGAAGUCUGUGAAUAAUCAACAACAAUGACAAUGACAACCGACUGCCAAAGGGACCAGGCAAGCAUGAUUAGCACCAGAAAAAAAACCUAUGUCCAGAAAGUCAGAAAAAUACCCAGGAUACAACAACUAUUCCCCCCUCCGGAUGCAGCGUCCCCGCUGCAUGGAAAGAGCAGACUUAGCACAGACAGGCACCAGGGAUGCGGGACACAAAGCAAUUACCUGCCCCGCGAGCCUACCUUGGCCUGGGCCUGUUGCUUAGCCUCUUCCAGCAGGGGUUUCAUAUCAGGGGUAAAGUUGUGUAUAGGUUCCCAGGAGUUGUGCUCAGAUGAAUACCCGACCCAUUUGACCAGGUAUUCAUGCACAGUGUGCUUGCGUCGGCCGUUGCCUACCCGGUGUGUGUGUGUGUGUGUGUGUGUGUGUGUGUGACCAGGUAUUCAUGCACAGUGUGCUUGCGUCGGCCGUUGCCUACCCGGCGUGCACGAUAAUCCAGAAUGCGUUCAACAGCAUAAAAAGUCUGCUUGCCAGAUAGCCAAGUGACCGGACCAGGCUCUACAACAGACGGAGUGGUGUCAGGCUCAGAUGUGGCAACAGAAGCAGCUUUGUGGUACGGACGGACCAAGGACACAUGGAACGUGUGAUGGAUGCGCAUGUCUGAAGGCAGUUUCAGCUCUACAGCAGCCGAACCGACCAUGUUUACGACAGAGUACGGACCCACCCAGUGAGGUAGCAUCUUACGUGAACCAUCAGCCAAAGAGCGCAGAUUCUUGGUGCUGAGCAUGACCAACUGCCCUUUGGUGAAGGCGACAUCCCUCCUGGCCUUGUUGUAAUAGUCAGCCGUCCGUUGCUGCGCAGCUUCAAGGCAAGCUUUAGCAUCAGUCGUACAGGAUACAAAUGACUUAACGAACGUCUUCACAGCAGGCACGUUGACGUCCAGUUCCCGCCAGAUCGGUAAAGCAGGGUUAAAGCCAUAGUUAAGGAAAAACGGACUUUUCCCAGUCGAACGGUUGGCAGCAUUGUUGAUUGCAAAUUCCGCAGCCGUCAGAUAGGUAUCCCAAACAGCAGGUGUACGACCGGCAUAAUUAGGCAGCAUGUCAGCCAGGGUACGGUUUGUACGCUCAGUCUGGCCGUCAGUCUGUGCGUGGUAGGCGGUGGACAGAUUAACCCGCAUGCCUACCAACUGGCCCAGGGCGCCCCAAAACGUACGCGCGAACUGUGAACCGCGAUCAGUAAUAACGCUUUUGGGAACGCCAUGCAAACGCACUACGUUAUCGAAAAACAGACGUGCAGUUUGCUCGGCCAUGCAGGAUGACGUGCAAGGUGCCAAGUGUACCAUCUUAGUCAGACGGUUAACCAUGACUAGCACAGCGUCAAAUCCCCCCUCUGUUUUGGGCAGCGCAACUAUGAAAUCCAUGGAAACGCUUUCCCAGGGAGCGUUCGGAACAGGUAAAGGCUGCAGAAGCCCGUGAGGCUUACCAGAUUGAGCCUUGUUGCGCUGGCACAGAUCACAGGACAGAACGUAAUUCUCCGCAUCUUUAGCCAUGCGUGGCCACCAGAACUGCCGACGAAGAAUUUCGACCAGCCGCGUGCAGGCAGGAUGCCCAGCCAAUGGGUCGUCAGGGAAGCGAGACAGAAGCUCACGAUGCAAAGAAUCAUAAUUCGGAAUGACGAUUUGCCUGUAAGACCCCUCAGAACGGAUCCAGAGACGAUGCUGUAAAGACAAAUGGCCGGUAUUGUUAGCAUCAGUAAACCAAGGAUCCGUGGCGUAGGCUUGCUUCAAGCGCUCAGUGAAAACCGAGUGCACAAUCGGCUGUGCAGCUGCGGAUCGGCGUGUAGCAACAUACAGAAUGGCUGCAUGCAGGGAUGGGUGCCGACUGAGUGCAUCAGCGAUGUUAAGGGAACCAGACAGAUAUUCCCACGUGAAAUCGAACCGGGCCAGGAAUUCCAUCCAAUGCGCCUGCCGGUGAUUCAGCGAUGGCACACCUUGCAGAAACGUAAGGGGUUUAUGAUCCGUUUUAAGAGUGAAUGGGCGACCCUCUAGAUAGCACCACCACUCUUUAAGCGCAUGAAGAACAGCUAGCAGUUCCUGUUCCCCAGUUGUGUAGCGAGUCUCAGCCCCGGAAAACUUUUUACUGGUGAAGGCGACUGGCCGCCCCUGCUGCAACAGAACAGCGCCCGUGCCGUGCAAGGAUGCAUCUGUAACAACCUCAACACGAAACGGCUGUGAGUAAUCCGGGAAUCGCAAAAUGAUGUCGUCAGAGACAAUGCACUUCAAAGAAUCAAAAGCCUGCUGGCACUCAGACGUCCAGGCAUCAGUUGAAAAGAAAGCCCCUUUACAUGUCAGAUUAGUCAAGAGGUGCAGCAAUGACAGAAAAAUGCUCAAUGAACUUUCUGAAGUAGUUCACAAGCCCCAGAAACCUACGAAGGUCGUGUAGGUUGGUCGGAGUAGGCCAGUUCCGCACCGCAGCAGUCUUGCGUGGAUCCAUGCGGACGCCAUCCUUGGAAACGAUGUGACCAAGGUAUUCGACCUGAGGCUGUGCCCAGUGGCACUUAGCGUGUUUAGCAAACAGUUGCUCCCGCUGCAGGACCUCUAAGACCAGACGUAAAUGCUCUAAAUGCUCCUCACGCGUUUUGGAAAAGACAAGCAGAUCAUCCAGAUAGCAGACGACAAACUUAUCCAUGUAAUUUCUGAAGAUGCGAUCCAUAACUGCUUGGAAAGUCGCAGGUGCGUUCGUCAGCCCGAAGCUCAGGACAUGUACUCAUAAUGACCGAAAGGGGUACGAAAAGCCGUUUUAGGAAUGUCGGAUUCCGCAAUACGAAUCUGAUUGUACCCUUGCUGUAGAUCAAUCGAGCUAAAGUAACCAGCACCGCGCAGUUUAUCCAGCAGAUCAUCGACACGAGGCAGGGGAUAGCGAUUUUUAACUGUAACCCAGUUCAGACCCCGAUAGUCAAUGCACAUGCGCAAGGUCCCGUCCUUCUUGCUCACAAACAGAAUAUGAGCAGAGUAAGGAGACGUGCUGGGUCGGAUCAUACCUUUGCUGAGAAGAUCAGUCAUCUGACGUUAUACCUCAUCGAGUUCCAAGGGACUCAACGUUACAUGGGCCGAGAAAUCGGUGUAGCACCAGGUGUCAAAGGUAUCGUGUGGUCGACAGGUCGCAUCGGUGGAAGCCCAGGGAUUUUACGGAAUACAUCGGCAUACUCCUCCAACAGGGCUUCAAUUUCUGGGUCUUUGUCAGGGGUUGGGUCAACAGCUGCGUUCAGUUGCAGUUUAGGACGCACUAACAGAGCAUGUGCACCCUUCCGGAGCAUGCGAGCAGCUGCACGUCGCCCAAACUGAACAGGCUCAGUACGAUUGCAGAUAGCUGCAGCAGCAUAAUUCACACAUGGGUCAGCCGGAACCCCCUCUGCGGUAUGUCCUUCUGUGAUGAAAGGCGUCUCAUACGUAUAGGGAUGAUCACGGCGAUGAAUGAGGGAAACCCUGUGUAUGUCUCGAGUUCUAUCUUAUUCUGUUUGUGGAUUUGCCAAACUUAUUUUAUAACGAUUAUUUGAAGUAAGGCUUGCUCAGAUGUAAUCGUGAUGCGAAGAGGUGAUGCGCAUAUGUGACCUCCCUCAUUAUUUGGCAGUAACGAUUAUCCUCCCCUUACCAUUACCUAUAUGCUGCCAGAGACGGAUGAUGCUUACGAGGGCGACCUGCGGCUGGUCGGCAGCAACCAGCCAGGUAGCGGCACACUGCAAAUCUUCCAUGACGGCAAGUGGGGCGUAAUGAACAGCACAUACAUGGACUGGCGCAUCGCUACAGCCGCUUGCCGGCAGCUUGGCUGGACUUGGGGCGAUCUAGUGUCUAAUGCGGGGUCCAUGUACGGCGGAACAUCCAAUAUGGUGCUCUGGAAUGUUCAGUUCGCUUGCCAAUCGCUGAACAGCCGCUUGGUGGACUGCCCUCGAGACCAGGACUUCUACCUUUGGGUAGGGAUAAACGGCGAAUUUCCCGAAAUUGUAAAGGGCUGAAGGGCGUGUGUCGGCUGUCUGGGCUAUGCGCCGAUGGUUGCCUUCAAUGGGAAAAACGUGUUUCAUAAACCCUACCUGACGUGCGUGGCGUGCUCCGUUUCCCAGCGGACGGCUCCCGUCAACCUGGUAAAGUCAGAGGCGAAUCUGCUAAGCGAUCAUGGUCCAGGCAUUUCGUUUUCCCUCCAUUCAGGAAUAUCGCUGCCCUGUCCGAGAUUAAUCUUCAGCAAGAGACUUUUAACCCAAAUAAAAUGCUCGUACAAAAUCGAUGGCUUGCCCACGCAUACAACACUGUGCAUGUAAUGUUUUAUUUCUGGGGGCCUCCCAUAGUAGAGCUAAUUGAUAAGCGAGGAGAACGGCGGGGCUUUGGCAUGCCUGAACACAGAACACCCCCUCUGCAUGCACUGUGCAUGAUUACCUAAGUUGAAGUAAACUAUGAACCUCGCUACACCAUGUCGGUCUGUGUGUGUUGUUGUUGUAGGACUACAACAACGACGGUGGCGCUGUGCCGCGGGGCUAUGACGCUUACAUGGGUGUACAAUGCCACAGUGGUAAGCUUCCUGCUGCGUUGUGCUGCUUUGCUAUAGCAUGUCCGACAUAGCUAUGUCCGAACGCCCCAUUUACUAUGGACGUUCUCAUUUUUUACACAUGCGUCUGGCACCCUUGUACGUACCUUUACUGGCUCCUGGUAUCUGGACAAGCAAAUUUGAUUGCACAUGCAGAUUUGGACUCGGAAGCUCGCCUCGUCGGUGGCAGUGAUGCCAAUGAAGGAAUCGUCCAGGUCCUUUACGGCGGACAAUGGGUCAGCAUCUAUCCCGCUCAUCUGAACUACUACCAGCAGCAGUACGGUUGGAGUUGGUACGAGGCGGGAGUGGUGUGUCGGAUGCUGGGCUGGGACACUGGCGAGGAGCUUAUGGACAUCCCUGGUGGAAUCUUCAAUCGGACGGCAGCUGAAGGCCCCCUGUACACCACAUUUUACAAAUGUAAUGGUUCUGAGAGCCAAUUGAUAGAUUGUGAUCGAGAGUUGCAGACGUAUCAAAUAUUUUCGUGGGACAUCUACUCUUACGGUGUAGCCGCUGUAAGGUGUUGGAAUGGUAAGUACGGGUAUUGUAGCUAUGUGCUAUCUUGCAUAGAUGUAGGUCAGUGUAUGUUACACAGCCGCUUGCAUGAAUAAAGGACAAUCUAACUAUCUGCUAGCUUGAAUGACGUAGAUAAUCACACACGAGAUGAAGAAGAUGAAGCUGAACCCUGAUUUGCCCAAGUUAUGGGGAAGUGCGGUCCCAAUACAUGAAUUCAGCGUGCAAAGGGAUGUGCGUGGCCCCGACAGAUCUGCUAGGAGCACAUCAUGGUGCUGGGUGGAUUCACCCCGUUUGAAGCGGGGGGAGCAGGCCAUGUAUGCCAGUUUUCAACCACUUAAACAAAAACGGCUUCUAACCUACCUAGUACAUCUUCUCGUGCCGGUCUCACUUGUCCAUGUUUAUUCCCUACAGCCGCCUUGCGUGUUUAGUCCGGCUGCUCCAUCCUCAUCGCCUUACCGUACGUGCAUUAAUAGCGCUAGCCCUGCCUUGCAUGCAUCCCUUGCUGCUACCAUCCCAACUCCACCAAGCGAGACUUCCGAGCAACCGACAGACAUGGUGCUGCACAUGCAUGUUGUAAGGACGGUGUGCUUGCUGGCUUUGUGAAUGUACUGCUGACCAUGAGCUUUAGUCCCUGUCAAGUAUGGAGCUCUGCGUCCAGUUGUGUUUAAUAAGUAUAUUCCUUAAGAGAAAUAAAACGGCACUUUCGGCCCUGGUAAAAAGGAAUGGAUUUACGUCCGGCCGCAUACAUUCAUUUCUUGGGCCAGAAAGCAAGUCUCCGUCCUGCCAAAGGUCUGCUCAAACGUCGGGGGAUGGACUAGAAGGGCCUUGAAGACCCCAACCGGUAUUCAACGGAGCGUUACACGCAUAUCUGACUGGAGCGGACGUGGCUACUCCAAAGGUUUGUCAUCUCAAGGAACCACCAAAGGUCCAUGCAUGGACCUUAUGGCCUGGCUUUGCAAGUUACUUUGUAAUUCAUCCGGGGUUCUGGGGGACCGGAUACCCCCAGCGCCUCAUGCUUAAGGAAUAGUUUAUCAGCCUGACUUUGGAUAUCAUGGGUUUGGAAUAAAAUGGGCCCCCUAAAACGAAAACAGAAACGCUAUCUCCGUCCAUCACCGCGACAGCAACUCAUCCCCAUCGCUCAGUGCUUUUUAAUUGCUGACUGGCAGCUGUCGUUCUAUGCUUGGCUUCCCCAAAGGUUUCCAUCCUCGCCAUCCAUACGGCAGCACACACACGCCGGCGGCACUACUACUAAAGUACAGACUAAAGUCUGUAGCUUAGCCUGAGCACCGUCGCUUGCAAGCGGGCGAGGGGGGAAAGGCUAUGGGUUUCCCCUGCCCUUUACAAAUUCACCGUGAGAGGAAAACGUAAUGGGAUGAUCACGGCGAUGAAUGAGGGAAACCCUGUGUAUGUCUCGAGUUCUAUCUUAUUCUGUUUGUGGAUCUGCCAAACUUAUUUUAUAACGAUUAUUUGAAGUAAGGCUUGCUCAGAUGUAAUCGUGAUGCGAAGAGGUGAUGCGCAUAUGUGACCUCCCUCAUUAUUUGGCAGUAACGAUUAUCCUCCCCUUACCAUUACCUACAUGCUGCCAGAGACGGAUGAUGCUUACGAGGGCGACCUGCGGCUGGUCGGCAGCAACCGGCCAGGUAGCGGCACACUGCAAAUCUUCCACGACGGCAAGUGGGGCGUAAUGAACAGCACAUACAUGGACUGGCGCAUCGCUACAGCCGCUUGCCGGCAGCUUGGCUGGACUUGGGGCGAUCUAGUGUCUAAUGCGGGGUCCAUGUAUGGCGGAACAUCCAAUAUGGUGCUCUGGAAUGUUCAGUUCGCUUGCCAAUCGCUGAACAGCCGCUUGGUGGACUGCCCUCGAGACCAGGACUUCUACCUUUGGGUAGGGAUAAACGGCGAAUUUCCCGAAAUUGUAAAGGGCUGAAGGGCGGGGUUAUUCAUGGCGCGUGUCGGCUGUCUGGGCUAUGCGCCGGUGGUUGCCUUCAAUGGGAAAAACGUGUUUCAUAAACCCUACCUGACAUGCGUGGCGUGCUCCGUUUCCCAGCGGACGGCUCCCGUCAACCUGGUAAAGUCAGAGGCGAAUCUGCUAAGUGAUCAUGGUCCAGGCAUUUCGUUUUCCCUCCAUUCAGGAAUAUCGCUGCCCUGUCCGAGAUUAAUCUUCAGCAAGAGACUUUUAACCCAAAUAAAAUGCUCGUACAAAAUCGAUGGCUUGCCCACGCAUACAACACUGUGCAUGUAAUGUUUUAUUUCUGGGGGCCUCCCAUAGUAGAGCUAAUUGAUAAGCGAGGAGAACGGCGGGGCUUUGGCAUGCCUGAACACAGAACACCCCCUCUGCAUGCACUGUGCAUGAUUACCUAAGUUGAAGUAAACUAUGAACCUCGCUACACCAUGUCGGUCUGUGUGUGUUGUUGUUGUAGGACUACAACAACGACGGUGGCGCUGUGCCGCGGGGCUAUGACGCUUACAUGGGUGUACAAUGCCACAGUGGUAAGCUUCCUGCUGCGUUGUGCUGCUUUGCUAUAGCAUGUCCGACAUAGCUAUGUCCGAACGCCCCAUUUACUAUGGAUGUUCUCAUCACGUCAGUGGGGCAACGGUGUUAGGCAUCUCUUUGAACUCAGCAACCGAAGGGCAGACCAAUCAGCCACCAAGACCAGAUGUCCUAUCUGUAAACAGCAUUACAGUUUAGUCAGUUCAGAUACAGAUGUUGGCAGCCCAAUAUUUAGGUUCGUAAUGCAGUUAUGAAACAGCAGUUAUUCGAGGGUUGAGAGACAGAUCCCAAAACCACUCAAACAAUACAGAUCAGUAAGGAAUAGUGUUUAUCAUAUGCACAGAUGCACUAUGAUACAACAACUAUCCCCCCUAAUGUGACAGCAUCCCCUCUGCCCGUUUAGCCUGCAAGCGAACCUCUUCCAGGGCCGGUUUCAGAUCCAGUGUGAAGUUGCGAGCGGGUUCCCAGGAAUUGUGCUCAGAUGAGUAGCCAGUCCAUUUCUCAAGCCACUCAUGCACUAAGCGGAACCGCUUGCCAGAACGAACGCGGCGACAACAGUAGACCAGAACGCGUUCAACCAGGUAAAGAGGUUGCUUAUCAGACAGCCAGGCAACAGGAUCAGGUUCAGUGUCCAUACCAUCCGCAGAAACAGGAUUCCGAGAACGAUAAGGGCGAAUCAGAGACACGUGGAAGGUAGGGUGAAUGCGCUUAUCAGUAGGGAGCCGCAAUUCGACCGCAACAGUACCAACCAUGCAUACGACAGCAUACGGUCCGACCCACCGCGGAAGCAUUUUCCGAGAGCCCUGAGACAGAUUCCGCGGGUUCUUCGUACUCAGCAUCACCAAGUGCCCAGGCGAGAAGGUGACAUGCUUCUUGUCGCGGUUAUAGAAAUCGGCAGCCCGUUGUUGCGCAGCCUCCAGACAGGCUUUUGCAUCAGUCAGCCGGGACUCAAAGCUCUUUGCAAACCGUUUGGCAGCAGGAGCAUUGACAUCCAACUCCCACCAGACAGGGAGUGCAGGGUGGUAGCCAUAGUUCAGCCAGAACGGACUCUUGCCAGUCGAGCGAUUUACUGCAUUAUUCAGUGCGAAUUCAGCAGCAGACAGAUGAGUGUCCCAGGUAUCAGGAUUACAACCCGCAAAGUUGUGUAGCAUGUCGCCCAGAGUGCGGUUCAUGUGUUCAGUUUGGCCAUCAGAUUGGGGAUGAUAUGCCGUGGACAGAUUCACACGCAUAUCCAGAAAAGCCCCAAGCACACCACAGAACUUGCUCGUGAACUUGGAAUCACGGUCAGAUAUUGUGUUCCUAAGAACACAAUGUUCUUAGGAACGCCGUGCAAACGUACCAUGUUAUCCAGAAAUAAGCGUGCAGCUUGCUCAGCAGUACAGGACGUGGUGGUGGGCGCCAGAUGCACCAUCUUCGUCAGGCGAUCAAAACGAAUACUGUGUCGUAUCCCCCCUCAGUUUUGGGGAGUGCGACAACAAAGUCCAUAGAGACGCUAUCCCAGGGGUUGGCCGGUACAGGCAGCGGCUGCAGAAACCCAGGCGUCUUACCGGACAGUGCUUUGUUGCGCUGACAGAGAUCACAGGACUAAACAUAGUCGGCCGCGUUGGCGGCUAGCCUGGGCCACCAGAAGGCGCGGGAGACCAGCUCAAUCAGACGACUACAGCCAGGAUGCCCAGCCAGAGGACCGUCAUGGUACUUUGACAGCAUGCACAGUUCCCGACGGACACAGGCGUCAUUAGGGACCACAAUCUGCUUGCACUCAGGGAGAGGACGGUACCAGAUGCCGUGCUCACAGGUUAGCUUAGCAGUGUUGCGGGGAUCAGAGAAGUACGCAUCAGUACGGUAUCCAGCAUGCAGACGGGCAAACAGGUCCGAGGCAGGCACAUGGGCUUGUGCAGGGACAGCCCAAUGGCAUACUCCAGGCCGGUUCCGGCCCGGUUCCGACCUAACGGGUCCAGUUAACGAGAUGGGUAACCGGUCGGUAGGAUUACCGGGCGAACCGUUAUCCGUUAACCGUCCCCAGUAAUCGGUAACCGAUGUCGGUAACCUGGCAUGAGCAAAAAUGCAUUUCUGAUUGCAACCAGUUUCUUUGUGACAAUGCCCAUUGUCACAAGGUUCAUGCCCACGUGUCACACCCCGACAAGCUUGAGGAGGUUAAGGCAAUGUGAAUGCCGGGUGACAGGGGUGACAGUCUUGUGCAGGCACAUUUGGAGACUAGUUUACACUGAGAUUGGGGUGAUGUUGGAUUAAAAUACUUGCAGUUCAUGAAAUUGAGGAAAUGUGUUGCAAAGGCAUAUCCAAACGUUUCAGAGGGACGUUGUUUCGCCCGUAACAAACUUGUUACGGGCGAAACAAACUGGAUUUCCACAGUCCCACCACUCAAAGAGCUCCCCACACCAUCGCAAAGUCCUUUUUUUAUUACAGACACAUGUAACAAGUUGUCAUAGCUUGAGAUUGUCGAUAUAUGACUGCUGGAUUGUGACGAGGCCAUCUCCUUACAUGUCUUGCUGCACCAGCAUGAGCAGUGAUCCCUUCUGUUCAAAAUUUCAGGCAACAUCGCAAUGAGGCAAAACAUUGUGCCGAAUCUGCCGUACAAAGAGUGUUCAAAGCUUCACGCUACUAACGGACGAAUACAUAAGCAUUCAUUUACCUUAAAAGAAUAAAGGAAUUCUAUAGCUUCAUACANNNNNNNNNNNNNNNNNNNNNNNNNNNNNNNNNNNNNNNNNNNNNNNNNNNNNNNNNNNNNNNNNNNNNNNNNNNNNNNNNNNNNNNNNNNNNNNNNNNNNNNNNNNNNNNNNNNNNNNNNNNNNNNNNNNNNNNNNNNNNNNNNNNNNNNNNNNNNNNNNNNNNNNNNNNNNNNNNNNNNNNNNNNNNNNNNNNNNNNNNNNNNNNNNNNNNNNNNNNNNNNNNNNNNNNNNNNNNNNNNNNNNNNNNNNNNNNNNNNNNNNNNNNNNNNNNNNNNNNNNNNNNNNNNNNNNNNNNNNNNNNNNNNNNNNNNNNNNNNNNNNNNNNNNNNNNNNNNNNNNNNNNNNNNNNNNNNNNNNNNNNNNNNNNNNNNNNNNNNNNNNNNNNNNNNNNNNNNNNNNNNNNNNNNNNNNNNNNNNNNNNNNNNNNNNNNNNNNNNNNNNNNNNNNNNNNNNNNNNNNNNNNNNNNNNNNNNNNNNNNNNNNNNNNNNNNNNNNNNNNNNNNNNNNNNNNNNNNNNNNNNNNNNNNNNNNNNNNNNNNNNNNNNNNNNNNNNNNNNNNNNNNNNNNNNNNNNNNNNNNNNNNNNNNNNNNNNNNNNNNNNNNNNNNNNNNNNNNNNNNNNNNNNNNNNNNNNNNNNNNNNNNNNNNNNNNNNNNNNNNNNNNNNNNNNNNNNNNNNNNNNNNNNNNNNNNNNNNNNNNNNNNNNNNCGGUCGGUAACCGGCAUGUUUAUGCCAUAGGGCAGAGGCAGGUGCAUUAGCAACAGUCUCUUCAAAAGCGGGCACAUUCACGGCGGCUUUACCAGCAGCAGAGCUGUGAGUCGUCACAGACAGAAUAGCAGAAUGCAGGUUCGGGUGCUGACUGAGAGCAUCGGCGAUGUUCAUCGAGCCAGACAGGAACUCCCAGGUAUAAUCAAAGCAUGCCAUGUAUUCAAGCCAAUAGGCCUGGCGGCGAUUCAGGGUCGGCACACCUUGCAGGAAUGUAAGGGGUUUAUGGUCAGUUUUCAGGGUGAAUGGUCUACCUUCAAGGUAGCAGCGCCAUUCUUUCAGAGCGUGGAUGACAGCAAGCAGUUCCUGUUCCCCAGUAGUAUAACGGGUUUCAGCACCCAAAAACUUCUGACUGGUAAACACGACAGGCCGACCCUCUUGCAGCAAUAUAGCCCCAGUGCCGUACAGAGAGGCAUCAAAUAUGACCUCGACACGAAAAGGCAGAGAGAAAUCGGGAAACCGCAGCAUAAUAUCAUCACAGACAGCACGCUUCAGAUCAUCAAACGCCUGUUGGCACUCAGGAGUCCAAGCAGCAGGCGACAGAAACGCACCCUUACGCGUCAGAUUGGUCAGAGGCGCCGCAACAACAGAGUAAUGCGAAAUAAAUUUACGAAAGUUUUUUUAGCGGAUCCAUUCGAAUGCCGUCAGCAGAAACGACAUGCCCCAGAUAUUCGACCUGCGGCUGCACCCAGUGGCACUUGGACCGCUUCGCGUACAGUUGCUCACGCCGCAGCAUCUCGAAGACCUGCCGGAGGUGCUGCAGAUGCUCCUCACGAUUCUUGGAGAAAAUCAAAAUGUCAUCGAGAUAACAGACGACGAACCGGUCCAGGAAAGGCCUGAAGAUACGGUUCAUGACAGCUUGAAAGUUGGCAGGGGCAUUUUCCAAGCCAAACCUCAGAACAGUGUACUCGUAAUGACCAAAGGGUGUGCGGCCCUAUGGCUGGACGUCCUCCCUUUAUGGCCCCCUAGACCCCUUGACCCCCAUGAAGGGGCCAUAAGGGGGCCAUAAGGGGGGGGCCCUUAGCCCCCUUAGCCGGCUUAGUCCCCCAUUAUGGCCCCUUCAUGGGGGUCAAGGGGUCUAGGGGGCCAUAAAGGGGGUCGUCCAGCCAUAGGGCGGCCUGGCGCCUCAGCAGCGGCAGCACGGCGGGCCUCCUCCUCCGUGAUCCAGACAGGACAGUUGUCAAGUCGAUGUUCGCGCGAGCAGCAGCGCAGACACUCCUGGUUGUCCUUACAUCGGAGGUACUCGCCAUACCGGCACACCGAAUAAGUGUGAAAUGGGACACCGCGCUCGUCAGUGACACAAGCCUGCAUGAGUUCUUCAUGAAGACCGGUGUGAAACCAAUACAUGUAUUCCGACUCAGUGCAGUCAGGGAUAGAGGUUAGCAGGGCCUCGAACCGAGUCUCAUAAGCAGCGACUGUCUCCUUAAUAUGCAUGCGGUACUGGCCAGAUGCUAACUUAUUGCAAGCUUCAGUAUCACGUGACUGAAUCUGAGGUGCAAAUCGCUGAAGCAAGGCAGUAAGCAAACCGUCAGAUGUGUAAGACAGGUUGGCCAGCGUCCACUCGUCAUGAAAGGACUUAGCCAGCCCCCCAAGGGCCUGACCCAGGUACAGGCAGCGCAGAGCAUCGUUGUGGCCACCCUUGACAAGCAGGAAAUAAUUCUUGACGUCUCGCACGAAGGCUCGGGUAGCAGCAGCGAUGACGGCGGGCGGUUGUGGACUCUGCUUGGAGUCAGCCUGAAUGAACAGCUUUGGUGGGGGAAUGGACAGCUUAAUUACCUCAGCAGGGUUCGAGGAGCCCUCGCCACCAGCCGCAGCCGGUGUAACAGCAGGGAACCCCGACGGACAAGCACCUGCACGGCCAGAGCCGGCAGCCAUUGCAGCAUGAACAGGAAGGGGUGCAGCAGAGCUGACAAGUAAAGUAAGCAGUAAAACCACGGAGCCCAGGUCGCGGAUUCUCAGAAGCAGCAGCAGCAUCAGGCGCCGGUGGAUGGACAGCAUUGACAGCAGCAGGAGCAUCAGAAGGUUCAGCACCUAACUCAUCAGCAGGAAGGUACUCAGCAGCAGCACCCUCAGCAGGGACAGGGUUGGCAUCGACGGCAACAGCAAGAGAGGCAGGAGCAACAGCAACAGGCGCAGGAACCAGACCAGCCGCGAUAGCCACUGCAGCCUCUAGCAACUCAUUAUUAAACUGAACAGGACCCAGGCCAGCAGCUGGAUCAGCCAUUGUGCCAACUUAGUAGAGACAGCAGUGCAACCCAGCGAAUGUGCACCGAGUUUGACAGCUAAUAGCCGUGCCAAUGUGGCCAGCGAGGCUCGAUUCAGAACCGUUCCUGGAGAGUCUCCAAGGACCAAAAUGCAUAAACGCAGUGGCCUUGGGUCCGAAGACGCUUCUGCAAUCACCACGGAUUCGACCAGGGAUAGACCGACAGCAGACCAAGGCAGCAGGAAGGCAGGUUAAUUCACCAACCUGCACCAGCAGCAGCAGCGACCUCAGCGUUGAUUGAUGGAGAAUAAGAACCAAAACGGAGAGUCGCCAUGGUCAACUUUUGUAGACAGUAUGUAGAUGCAGUAGGCGGAAGCGUAAUACAGGAAAACCGUUUCGAGUCCCUUGUUGUACCACGUAAAUUGUUGUACCACGUAAAUUGGUGGUAGUAAGAACUACCGAUUGAAGAGUUCCAGUGUGGUUAAGAGUACCAGCUCCGCGCUCAGUAGCGUACGGCAGCCGCCAUAGGACGACUGGUCAGUGGGGCAACGGUGUUAGCCGUCUCUUUGAACUCAGCAACCGGAGGGCAGACCAAUCAGCCACCAGGACCAGAUGUCCUAUCUGUAAACAGCAUUACAGUUUAGUCAGUUCAGAUACAGAUAUUGGCAGCCCAAUAUUCAGGUUCGUAAUGCAGUUACGAAACAGCAAUUAUUCGAGGGUUGAGAGACAGAUCCCAAAACCACUCAAACAAUACAGAUCAGUAAGGAAUAUUGUUUAUUAUAUGCACAGAUGCAUGAUGAUACAACAAAUGAAGAUCCCCAACCCUAGCACCGUCUCGCGAAGGAGGGCCCGUGUAACAAAGCUCGGCAGUUGGUGAAGCAGUUACGAAGAGAAUUAUCCAAUGAUAAAAGGUGGUAUUGAAAAGAUUAUGAAUAGUUCUUGAAUGUACCGUUGGUACGAUGACCGUUGGCCCGGUGAGCCGAGGGCCGCCUUAGCGGCGUUACAUUCCCCCCCUCUUGAAUGCGAACCCGUCCUCGGGGCGCCUUGGGUGAGGUGGAUGUUUAGGGUAGAGGUACGCCUUUUGCGUACAGUUUCCCGUGAUAUGCGCGGAUUGCUUCUGGGCAUCCUUGAUUGCAGUCCUUUGCGGACUCCCAGGAGUCGUACUCGGGGCCCAGUUUGUGCCACCUGACGAGGUACUCCGUGGUGAUGCGGCGCCUGCUGCGAGACUGCCGGUGGGCGUGGAUCUCGUCCACAUACCACAACGGUUCGCCCUCAGCUGCGGGAAUCGCAGGUGGGGGUGGCGCGUUGCUGCCAGCCUUGUAGGCUUUUAUUUUAGAGACGUGGAAUACGUCGUGCAUGCGCAAGUGCGCUGGAAGUUGUAGUCGAACCGCGGCUUCGCCACCUUGGCAGUGAUGGGGAAGGGGCCGAUGUAGCGUGGCAUGAACUUGCCAAGGCCUUUCGUGUUGGGUGCCCGGAACGUGAAGUUCUUGGUGCUCAGCAGGACGUGCUGUCCAACCUCAAACUGGGCUUCACGGCGAGCUUUGUCCGCGUAUUUGGCUUGGCGCUGCUUUGCGGCGUCGAGGCACUUCGUGGCCAGUGUAACCCGUUGGGUGAGGCUGUCGGCGAUUUCGUCUGCCGCCGGAUAUUUGGACUGCUGCAGUGGCAAGUCGUGGUCGUGUGGUAGUGACAUGGUGCGUCCGUAGACAGUGUAGAACGGUGUUUGUCCGGUGGACUCGUUCUUGCUGUUGUUGAUGGCGAAUUCUGCCUUUGGCAACCAGUCUUCCCAGUCCGUGAGGUCAGGACCCACGUAGUUACGCAGGACCUCCUGCAGCACGCGGUUCGCGCGCUCGGUUUGACCAUCCGUUUGCGGGUGGAAUGACGAGGACAUGAGCUGUUUUACGCCCAGUUGCCUGGCUGCGUUGCGCAUGGCUUGUGCCGUGAACCGUGGGUCACGAUCCGUGAGGAGCGCGGUGAUUCGACCAUGUUUGCAGAUGAUGUGGUUUACCAGCAUCUUUGCGAAGCCGAUGGUGGUUAGUUGGUCCGUUGUGGGCACCAGCGAGACCAUUUUCGAGAACUUGUCUACGAAAACGCAAAUGGCUGUGUUGCCGGAAGGGGUCUGCGGUAGGCUGGUGAUAAAGUCGCAGGAGACCACCUGCCACGGGCCCAUUGGGGUGGGCAGGGGUUGUAGUUUGCCUGCUGGCUUUUGAUUAUCGGGUUUGUUGCGUUGGCACUGCGGGCAUUCGUGCAUGUAGGGCUCGACAGCACUGUACAUGCCAGGCCACCAGAAGCGUUCAGCAACUGUGUGCAGUGUCUUAGCCACGCCGCAAUGUCCGGCAAGCGGUGCAUCGUGGUAGGCAUGUAAGAUGUCUUUUCGCAGUUGCGGGUCAUUGGGCACGAUAAUUUUGUUGCCUUUGAACCACAUGCCGUCGGUGAACGAGGCGGUGCCCCAGUCGGCAUCCAGUUUGUCCGGCAUUACUGCCUUUAGGCGGUCCGCCAGUGUAGGUUCCGUUGGAGACCCGUCGGUAGGCAUGCCGAUAUACCUCAAGGCUGCGACUGCAGUGGGAGGUGUAUGGAUGCGGGAGAGGGGAUCGGCAACGUUCUUGCGUCCCGGCCGGUACUGCCACGUGUAGUGGAAGCGGCACAGAAACUCUUGCCACCGCGCUUGGCGUCGUGACAGGUCCUUUUUGGUUUCAAACCAAAUGUUUGGAUGGUGGUCGGUGACCAGCGUGAAGGUGUCUUGUGCGGUUUCAAGGUACAGUCGCCACUCUUGUAGGGCAUUAAUCGUACCCAGGAGCUCUUGCUCUGUGGUGGUGUAGUUGAUUUCGGCUGGCGUGAACUUUUUGCUGGUGUAUGCGACGGGGUGUCCGUUCUGCAGCAGCACGCCGCCUGUGCCGUAGAUGCUUGCAUCGGUUACGACUUCGAACUGUUUAGUAAAAUCGGGAAGAUGUAGCACCGGGGCGUUGGCGAGGGCGUUUUUAAUGCCGUCGAAGGCCUGUUGGUGCGUGUCCGUCCAUUCGGUCAGCCUUUUGCUGCCGGUGAGGGCCGUAAGUGGGUUUGCUAGCGAUGAGUACCCCUGGAUGAACUUGCGGAAGUAGUUCGCAAGACCUAGGAAACCGUGCAGCGCCGUCAUGUCUUUUGGGACGGGAUAGUUCUUAACGGCCUCGAUUUUACGGGGAUCCACCUUAAGUCCCUCGUGGCCGACGAUGUGGCCUAAGAAGUUUACUUCGGGCUUGUUCAGCUCGCACUUCUCACGUUUUGCACGGAAACGCGCCCCUUUGAGGGAUUCGAGGACCGUGCGCAUAUGUUCGAGGUGACUUGAUGGAUCUUUGCUGAAGAUGAGGAUAUCGUCCAGGUAAACAACGCAAUAACCCGCGUCGAUAUGUUUUUUAAGCACGGUGUUCAUGACCUUUUGGAAGGUCGCCGGCGCGUUCGUCAACCCGAAGCACAGUACUUUGUACUGGAAUGUCCCGAAGGGUGUUAUGAAGCUGGUUUUGGGGAUGUCCUCCUCCGUGAUGCGGAUUUGAUGAUAGCCGCUUUGUAGGUCGAGGGACGAGAAUAUGCUCGCACCCUGAAGUUUGUUGAGGAGGUCGGUGAUGUUUGGAAGUGGAUACCGGUUUUUUACGGUGAUUUUGUUGAGGGUGCGGAAGUCGAGGCACAUGCGCAGCGAGCCGUCCUUCUUUUGUGCGAAGAGUACGGGCGCGCCGAAUGGUGAUUUUGAUUCCUCGAUGAAGCCUUUGGCCAGUAAGUCUGCGAGCUGCUUUUUCAACUCCGUUUGUUCCAACUGGGAAAGUCAGUACGGUCGGGAGUACGGCGGCUUUUUGCCAGGUUCUAGCUCGAUUGUGUGGCCAGUGCCGAGAUCCGGCCCGAGGCCCGUUAAGGGCUCAAAAACCUCCUUAUAUUCGUCCAGCAGUUCUUCCAGUUUAUCUGGCGACACCAGGGUAGGGUCGGACGGGGUCGCCGUUGUGGCGUCCAUAGCAUUUAGCUGGGCGAUAUCGUCACUGGUUAUGAAGGCAGCGUAACAAGACGCUCCUUGUUUCUGCAGUUUUUUAAUCUGCUUUAGAGACACCAGGUUCGCGCUAGGUGAAGUGGCCGCGUGUAAGACCGCCGUCACGUAAUUCAUGACCGCAACACCCUCGGACUGCGGCCCGUUGAGGCUCUGUAGCCGAUAUGAGCGGCCAUGGCGCGUCACCAUGCAGGUGCCCUGCCCAAAGUCUAUACUAGCUAGUAAUGCACUGUGCUCUCGCAUCCAACGGCUGCCGAGAAUUAGGUCGAUGCCAUCGGCUAGCUUAGGGAUAACUUGCGCUACGAUUUCGCAGCGGAAUCCUUGGAUACGGAGCGACAUAUGCACCCGACCUUGGAGGCGGACGCUAUUUGCGCCGUCGCCUAGCACGCAAGUAGCUACAUGGCUAGUGAGGGGCUGUAAGCCCAGUUUUUGCACAAGUGCGGCAGAUAUGAAAACGUGCGAAGCACCUGAGUCGACUAAGGCGACAGCUUUUGUGCUAGUAACGUUGCACGGUAGUAGCAGCGCGGUGUUUUCAGUCAGAGGUUCUAGUGCAGAACACUUAGACUUUUCCUGGCAGGGGUCGAGCCAUGCUUGAAACUCGCCACUGCAGUUUUGGGACCUGGUGCGACCACCUCCAGGUUUAGGUUCGGAGAAGAUACGGGAGUUACUUGUAAACUCUUUGAGUAAGGUCCAACCGCGUGUCUGAAAUUCCGUUUCUAGGUGGGCGCACUUGGGCACCAACAUAACCGCACUAGUUGUGUCCGGAGCGCGCUGUUUUAAAGUGCUGUAGUUGUUCAGCCAAAGAAUCGCGCAAUCGGCUGGCGUGUUGCACCAGAUAUGCUGUCCACUAGAUUGUGCGAAGUGAACGAGUCGGGACAGGCAAAAUUAGGACAGAGGGAAUUGUCACUUCGUACGUUACAAGAUGCGUCGAUCGCGAACACUCGACCCGAGGCCUUCUGCAGACGCAAAAACACUGAGCGAAGCACACAGUUGCUGCAGUCCACCGUUGGUGGAUUCCGGGUUAGUUCCUCUAUGUCCAUCGGUUCCCCACACGAGCUGCCUGAGGCUACGGCGUGGGCAAUUUCCUAGGCGUCCGCUUUUUUGCGGUCCUCAUUGUAACGCGGCUGUUUGCCGCAGUGGUGGCCCUUGCCAAAGGGCUCUCCACAAUGAUAGCAGAUAUUUUUCUCCUUAGCCAUCUCCUUAACCCACGGCGGCAUUUCCAUGCUGCCGCCUCGGCCACGGCCACCAUAGGCGCCACCGUGACCGCCACCUCGGCCUCCGUAGCAGCCACCACGGUGGUGGUGGUCGGCGCUUCUGCUGGAUCCACCCCGUUGGGUGUGGUUGCCGCGGCCGCCAUUCUGUCGGGGGUGGGUGGGGGCAUCGUUAGUGCCUAAGAAGUUAAGUCGCGCCGUUUGCGCCUUGCCCGCCUCGUGGCGUGUUUGGGCACCUUGGGCAUAGGUAACUAAAGCGUCAAAUGCAAACCAGUUAUUGCCGUUGGCAUCCGUGGCGCAUUCCCGCCGCAGUUGCGGCGGCAUACCGUGAAUAAGCCAAGUGCACAAGUCAAUUUGAGACAUGUUAGGGUCGCCGCGCGUAAUUUCGCGGAAUCGCUGCACGUAAUUUGGGAUGGACUCGCCGGGUUUCAUUGUGUGUGCACCGGCCAGUAGUUGCGUUCGUACAUGGUGAGGGGUGCAACGGUGCACGUCACCGAAAAGCAACACGAAGUCGUCACGCAUGCUCUGAAUAGUGAGCGUGGAGCCUUUGCGUGCAAAUAGGUCGUGGUACCACUCUGCAGCUUUGCCCGUAACGUAAUAACGCAUGCCCAUUAUGGGAUCGCUGCCCGAUUGCGUCAUGUAAUCAACGGUAGUAUCGAACCAGAUUUCAGGUUUGGUUACCGCAGUACUGGGCACUCCCGUGAAGCAAGGAGGCUGCCUAAAGUUCUUAAGACUUUGGUGGUUAGCAUUUUGCUGUUGUGGCUGCUGAUUUAGCGCACUAAUGGAUUGUACAUCCGUGUAACCCACUAUCCCACUUACGUGGCCAGCUUGGGCAGCAGCUGGCUCGCACGCGGCCGGCGGCGCGCAGUUGGCAGCCGGCGCGGCAGGGGCAACGAUCGGCGGUGGUGCUGGUUCGGGCGCCUGGGCAGGUGGGUCGUUGACCUCCGCCGGCCGCACUGGUACAGUGUUUGUCGGCGGUUCUGCAGCCGUUGGCUGCACGUUGAGGCCUUCUGCUGCUGGUAUGAUAGGUUCGGGCGGAUUAGGAGGCGGUGGGGCGGCAGCUUGGGCCUGAAUGUGCGCCUCUAUGCCUUCUAUUCUUUUUGACAUUUGCUCGAGUUUGUCCAGCAGCAGCUUGUUAAAAUCGUCGCGUGGGGCUGCACCUGUUGGGUGUACCGCGUGGUCCAUAGCGUCAGUUCGCGUGAUAAUACAUGCAACAUUUUGUUGCGGGGACCUAAGCACCAAUCUACAUGGUGGCAUUGCGCCAAUUGGGCGGUGUGGGUGGGAAAGUGGUGGCAACCCCCCCUCAGGCGGGGCGAGGUUAGCCACAGUGGUGUUGUUACAUUCACGCUCUUCGUGUAACUCACCCUGUCGUGUGCCGCGUUGCGGCUGGAGCGCGGCGGAGGGUAAAGUCACCCUGGUCGGCUCUGCGGCGGCAGCCGUUGGCUGCGCGGGACGUGGGCGCGAUGGUCCGGGACCUGUUGGGUCUUGCGCUCCGUUUUUGUCGGCGUCAUGCGCCGCAGUGGCUAGUCAUUCCCGCAGUUCGCGGCUCUUCUGCACACAAGAGAGUUCCUCCUUAGCUUCCAUUAGGAAGCCUAGUGCAGAGCGAUAGUCUUGCUCGUCACAAAAUUGUCUGACUUUGUCAAACAUGUGCGACGGCGGUGUGAUGCCCCUACGCUGAGCACAUCUCGCAUACUUCUCAUACAUUUCCUGGACCUUUUGUACCAGUUUCUUGGCCCUAGAGGGGCUCACCUGGCGCAGCUGGUAGCGCUCAUGGUCGGCCUCCGCCGACUGGGCGCGCAGGGGGUUCCUUGCUGGGCUCGUCAUGUGAGUCAGAUAAAAAAUGUUUGUAAAGUUGGAAUGUGCGUGCGGAAGCGGUGGAGUACUCGACUCCGAGGUCCUUUUGACCGGUUGGUCUCGAUACCAAAUUUGUAACAAAGCUCGGCAGUUGGCGAAGCAGUUACGAAGAGAAUUAUCCAAUGAUAAAAGGUGGUAUUGAAAAGAUUAUGAAUAGUUCUUGAAUGUACCGUUGGUACGAUGACUGUUGGCCCGGUGAGCCGAGGGCCACCUUAGCGGCGUUACAGCCCGGGUGCAAGCACAGUUCGUGUGGCGUAAAAAGGAUGACAAAAACCCGAACAAGUGGCAAGUGACCUUGGCGGAUAUGUGGAGGUGGGCCGAGUGCGUGCCUGCUGACACAAGCAAGGUCUAUGAGUACACUGCACGAUAUACUCUGUGUAGAAGGAAAACGACUUCGUCAUAUCCGAUCGGGCCAAAACCCUUGUUAUGUACCACGACACCGUCGGUCUGUGGAGAUGCUACAGCAGCGGCAGGCACAGCUUGCACUUCAGCAGCUAUGGAAGACACGCAUGCUGCCACUCUUCACCCUGGGCAAAUCAGAAGCAGAGAAUAGCAAAUUGCAGCAGCUUCGCCGCCUCUUCUGCCUGCUCGUGUGGGGCCGCCUCAUGUUGGACUUUACGGCCUCAAAAGAGGAGUUCAAGGCGCUGCAUAUUCGCACACCACUGUCACACACUGGAGCCUUUUCUCGGCUUGGGAGCUCGCGGAGGCACUGCUAAUGAACAGGAACUGGUGAGGGGGCACGCUUCAUCUCAAAGACGUGGAUGACUGCAUCGGCAUCUACAAAAAGUCCUGUCUUUCACUGCACCUAUACGUCAUGGACGCUGAGUGGAGCCGGAUGCCGCUUCUUAUUGAUGUAAGUUGUUCGUUGUUGUUCAAAGUUGGUAGAUGGGACGGAACUUUGGAUCUGGAAUCUAUGCUGCUUUAAGGCCCCUUAUUUCAAGUAAACGUUUGCUUUGUUUUGUUGCAAUACUGGACGCCUUUGGGCCCAUCUCUACGUUUUCUUGCCCCUCCCACAGAUGGCGCACCUGUGGGGUGCACAGGAUGCUGAGAGCAUCACACACGUUGAGCGUCGAGGCUGGGCUCGGGGAGGCAACUUGGCCCGCAACUUGGUAGCGAUUAGCACGGACUGAGCUAGUGUUUAGCGUGACUGUUGUGCACAACGGCGUUGUGCACAACGGUUUAGCCUUACCUUUUCAGCAUUCACUGGAUGGGGCACCGUAUUGAUGUCGCGGUUGAUGCGUUUACCGAUUGUAAAAGACAUCAUGGUCACAAUGAUGGAUGUCUUUUCGAACAGUGCUAAGCGCGUGAGCCUCUUUGAGGAUUAUUAUUAUUAUUAUUAUUAUUAUUAUUAUUAUUAUAUUAUUAUUGUUACACCGGUGUCCGCUCAACCUGGCGUGUGUUAAGGGGGGAACGCUCUGAGGUCUGCACCUAGUCAGUCCUAUAUGCUGUAUUCCCACCGCGUCACCUCUACGGGCCCUUUUCCACCCUAGAGUUCCACCUAUCGUUGGUGAGGACGCCACACUUAGGGUUUUGUUAAACUUAGGGCCACACGCCUCUUUGAGGAUGCCGCUCCAGAGGCUGAAACGGUCUGCAACCGGAUGAAGCGAAUUAUGGACACAAGGUGGGUGUGCAUGGUAUAAACAUUAGUGAGAAUAAAUUUAUGCCUGCAUUUCAUAGGAGAUCCUUGCCUCUAGGCCUUGCUAGCUUUCUCCAGAUAGAUCAUUGCUAGGUAAACUGUGACCGGUACCUUAUCAUGAUGCCUUACUGAAAACCUGCUUGCUAUAAUUCUCAUCCAUUCAACCUAAAAUUCCAUUCGUUUUCCCUUUUCCAUGUGCCCGGGAACAUGCACCGGCCAUGCCUGGCAGGGUACAGGCAGGGCCCUGCUGGUGCUCUUCUGCGGGGAGGAAGAGAAAGUUUACAAAUGUGCUGUGGAACGCAUGCCUCUACGUGGCGAUGCACACAAUCAUUACAUCACUUCAAAGCGUCAACACCUUUAUGAAGGUCUGCCAGAUGUGGCCGAGUGCUGUACAUUGGGGAGCACCUGAGAUGUACCUCAUCCCAGCAACCUGCUACACGACUGUGCAGCUCAGCAACGACAUGGAGCUGUUGCCCCUUGUUGUAGAGUUCAGACGACACAACACAUAAUGGGGGCAUCGAAAGAUACCGAUUGAGACAAGUGUCUUGAAUAAAUAGUCAUCAGUGACUCCACUUGGGCCUCGUGCCGACAGGAGCCCCCAGUACGACUGGGCGGCGCCGUAUCCAGAAGCCAUAGUUCGCCGGAACUACUCUCGCUCGGUCAGACGAAACUGGGAUGCAGGUCCCAGCUUUACGUAAGUAAACCCCCCCCCCCAUACACAGGUAUGGACUUCUGCAGCGGUGCGGCAUUAAGGUGGCGGACGACUAACAGUAGUCGCUUUAGCCGCCUGCAGCUAACAGUAGCAGCAACGCGCCCAUAUGCAGAUAUGGACUUCCGCAGUAGUGCGGCACUCGAAUGGUGGACGACUAACAGUAGUCGCUCUAGCCGCCUGCACCCAUAGACUUCUGCAGCAGUGCGGCACUUGAAUGGCGGACGACUAACAGUAGUCACUUUAGCCGCCUGCGCCUAUGGACUUCCGCAACGGUGCAGCAUUUGAGUGGUGGACGACUAACAGUAGUCGCUUUAGCCGCCGAUGCCCAUGGACUUCCACAACAGUGCGGCAUUAAGGUGGCGGACGACUAACAGUAGUCGCUUUAGCCGCCGCAGCUAACAGUAGCCGCAAUUAAACUAAUAGCAGUAUUAGUUAUAACCUGUAAUCACCGCCAACGGAAUUGAUGGGUGUUAGUUAGUAAUAGUGAAGUUCGGUGGACGAGAUAACCACCGACAGUUAGGAUUCGGAGCCCAAACCGUUGCAGAAAACCUUUACAGGAUACAACACCCCUCAACGGGGAUAUCACAAACACCAUCUUGGGGUACGACCCCGAUGCCAGCACCGAGGAGAGAAUUGGCCUGAUGUGCACCGGCGAGUUUUACCCCUUCACGGCCGACCUCCUACACACAGGGCGUGAUUGUCUGUCCAACAUCAUUACAUCUGUGCAUUUUGGACUGUGUCUGCUAUUUCCUGCGUUAACAGUAAAGGACUGUAAGCUUGCGACACAGGUCAGCAUCAGCCAGGAUAUAGCCCAGAACACUAUAAUUAUCCCUCCUCCAGGUUAGGCAUCCUCGACAAGAUCCGAACCAGGGCUAGAUGGAGCCCGCCAUCUCGCAACUCAGUGUCCCGCAUGCACUGAGACUUCAUGCGCACUAAAUGCAAUAUAAUCAUAUUUUACAUAUUUCUAGAUAUUAAAGGAUUCUAACUUGGCUGAGGGACCGAUCCAUACGACCUGACAAAGCUUUGUGUACGGCAGAGGUCGGUCGUCCAGGGCAGGUACUAAAACGGUUUCGGAGGACAUAUGAAAUGAAUCCUCUUGAAGAAUUCAAUUAAUUGACACUAAUUUUAGAAAGAACUAGUGUUCGGCUCGCUGCUUUUGGCUGCGCAGCCCAUGUAGAACAGCCCUUGAAGAAGGAAAUGGGCGCAGACGGUCCUAACACUCGACAAGGAAGCCACGUAUAUUUAGAAGAUGCUGAUGUUGGCGUUUCGGCUGCUGCAACGAAAGAGGUUGUCCUGAUUGAAUGCUGUGCGGGCUCUGGAACGUGCUUUCCAGCAGGCUUUUCGGAGCAUAAAUGGCAGAAGUACACAGUAGUCAUGAGUGCAAAUCAAAGCGGUGCAUAGCAAAGCAUCGCGCUUUGGCUCGCCGCUGGCAUGAUGGCUAAAAGUCAGAGACUUAAUGUGGAGACAAUACGCCAAAGUGUGUAUGGACGUAAACAUGACACUGUGAUGGCUGCAGCCAGCUGGCACAGAUAGUUUCACGUUUCCUUUGACAUGUGAAAAAUUUAAAUAAUGUUACUGUAUAGAGAAUAACUUUGAGAAGCAAGAGUUUAUUAAUUUUUGGCGGAGUUUUAAGCUUAUACUGCAUAUUUGAGCUCCAAAGCCGUAUGGCACUCGGUCGGUCAGCCCAGGGAGCCCCAAAAAAAUCUUCAAAGGUUAUGUUCAGAGAAUAAAUCCCCUACCAGAUAACCCUCCUUCGCCUCGCCCCUUAGAUAUCAGAAUACCGAUCUGAAUGAUCGGGCACGAUUUCGAUAUGGAGACUCUUUUGCACUUGUUAGUUGGAGGACUGGCUCGACUGGCUAAGUAACCAAGGACUUUACGCGGAGUAACCUAGGAAUUUAUUAAAGAGGAAAAGCGCCCGGCCACCCACGGGCCUUAUUGACUCCUAAAACGUUCUAGCGGUAUAAGAUUGUUGAUCACUCUCCAAGAUUGAGCAUUGGGGAAGUACGAUCCUGUCAGCGAGCCUAUGGGGUACAAGAGACUCCCAUAAGCUUGCGCCUAGGACUACGUGCUUUUUCAUUUAAGAUGAAUGCUUGUACUAGUCUUUGCUUAGGAGAAAUCUACGUAUGUCUACUGCUGGCUUUUAUCGCCGGAAGGGCCAUUACCAAGGAACCGGAAUUGCUUCCACAUAGUUAGAGAUCCGAAUCUGAAUCGAGCAAGAAUGUCCUGGCAGCAUACAUCUUGAUACACAGUAGUCAGACACAGCACUUUGCUAAGCCGUGGCAUAUGUGUCCCUGGGAGUUCCAGACUCGAUUCCGACUCAGAGUGGCAUUAAGAUCUUUCGACCGUAAGAAGAUGUCGAUGGACGGUGAUGCACACGGUUGAGGUGAUCGAUCCGCGAAUUGACCAGGAAUGGAGUUGACACCGCCGUUGAUCCGGUAGAUUUAAUUGGAUGCUGGUGGUGGGUGCCGAACCCGGAUAAGACACUGAGUUCGCAGAAGUCGGCAUGGGUGAGAAGGAUGAGGGUUCUCCAAAACAUCGGGAAAGGUAGGGACUGCCAGGCCACGGGUGAAGCUAAACCUCCCUACUUCACACAGUCAUGUAUGUGUGUGUUAAGGGGGCUGGCAAGCUAGGGUUGGGAGGUGCCUUUUAUCCAUCAAUGUAUUUUUUUGCAAGUAUUUACCUGCGGCCCCUAUCCUUGUGUGCGCGUCAGUUUCCCCAGACCGCCACCUGGCAUGUGGCCGAACCAAUGGUCUGACCCGCCCGAAAGCGCACAUAUGUAGCGGGCCGCCGUGCAUUGAACAGUACGUGGCAUGGCCACUAAGCCAGGGUCGGACUCGGACCCGACUGAAGAGACGGCGGGCUGUCCAAGAUUGUGUGAAGUAGGGGGGUUUAGCUUCACCCGUGGCCACUCGCCUGGCAGUCCCUACCUUCCCCAAUGUUUUGGAGAACCCUCAUCCUUCUCACCCAUGCCGACUAAUGCAAACUCAGUGUCUUAUCCGGGUUCGGCACCCACCACCAGCAUCCAAGUAAAUCUACCGGAUCAACGGCGGUGUCAACUCCAUUCCUGGUCAGCUCGCGGGUCACUUUAAGCGUAUCCAUUAUCGUCCAGCGACACAGGACAUUUCCAUCUUCUUAAGUAAGAAGGAUUUUUAUUCCGACCUGAGUCGGAAUUGAUCCUAGAACUUCGAUGUAUGUAUGUGUGUAUGUAUACAAAUAAAUACAUCAUAUAAUACAACACAUAUGUGACCUCAUAUACAUGUAUGUAAAACCCUAUAUAUUUCCUUUUCAGUUUCCUUUUACAGCCUAGGAAAGGAAAAUGAAAAGAUUUCUCCAGGACCCUGAACCCUCGUGUGCGCGCGCGCGCGUGUGUGUGUGUGUGUGUGUGUGUGUGUGUGUGUGUGUGUAUGCAUUACAUAUCGAUCCGGGCCUGAUGCUGGCCAGGGGCACCUAACUGUACCCCAACGGGAACGACCGCCAAAGCACUCCUCAGCUGAGGAGGGGCAUACCACCUUGUCCGCACGUGUGCACACUGCAACCCCCCAUAUUGGGGAGGUGCUUACCGCCUACUGUAAUCAUCACAGGACUGCGUCCACCUGAUUGCCCAUUUGCCAGCUCAGCUAGCCCAGGCGCCUACAGCCCCCUUGCCACCAGACGCAUGCUCUACAGCUGUGUAGAAUGUCUACCACAAGGCGCACACACCGGCAGCCGUAUACCCUAAUCAUCACAGGAGCACUGCGAUCCUGUAGUUCUUCAACCAACUGUCUAUGCAGUGGCCCAGGAGCCAGGGACUCCCCAUGCCGCCAUAUGAACGCUCUCUAUAGCACUGUUUGUUUCCGCCAAGGCAUAUCCGCCUCUCACUUGAAGCCAUGUCUUGGCACCAGAGCAGUUCCUCCUAGGCCGCUGCUUGACCACUUGAUCAGGCCCUCUUCACCCUGACCUAUUACAUCUGGGGGACCGUCGGCGGGGUUCAAUCCCACAUCUACCACUUGAGUGCUGCCACCUGGUAUCAAACCUAGGACCUCGCAACCUCUAAGCCGGUGUGUAUUGGUUACAUAUCGAUCCGGGCCUGACGCUGGCCAGAGGCACCUAACCGUACCCCAACAGGAAUGACCGCCGAAGCACUCAGGACCACUGGGGGGCCAUGCACCCAGAGCUGGAACCCCGUCAGCUAAACAACACAAGGCAGGACUCCAAGAAAGAACACUGCCUGGCCCAAAGAAAGUUCUGCAGGGGGACUAUUCCAGGUGGAAAGACUUCCACCAGUCCCACACGAAACACUGCAGCCAGCAGGAAGGCGAGGACACUGGGCAAUCAAGGGGGAAACACACACAAGAGGGAGCGCUGUGAAGCACCCACCCCCGCGUCAGCACGUCUCAGGCAAACAGUCAACUCAGGGUGAAUCACUCACUGAUCAGGCCUGAGCAACCUAGCAGGGAUAGUACGCCAGUACACUCCACAUACCACACGACCAAGGCCUUCACCAGUGAGAGGCCUCCAGAGCUAGUUACCUGCCAGAGACUGCUCUGCACCCCCUACACCCCUGCCUGCAGCCACCUAAAACGACCUCUUUCACCUGCCGCAAGCCCAAAGUACCUGGGCCUUGCUCCUUCCAACCCUUCCCCUCGGGCCCCCCCACCCUUGCUCUUCCGGGAAGUGGUUGAGCUCACACGCAUAGGCAAUGUGCUAAGCCACUUUGCCAGCCCCUCCGCAUCCUUCUCCUCAAUCUCCCUCAAAUCGCAGCUCUCAAGGUACUGCCAGGUGCGUAGUGAGGAUUCCCGAACCAGCGUGGCCCCGUGUUGGGCAGGGGAUGCGGCAAGAAGCUUCACUAUGAGCACUGCUGUCUUGGCCCCCUUGGCCCCUCGGGGCUGUCGCUGGCUUGCAGAUGGACCUGCCCCUCCCGAUCCCAUUCCCCCUAGCUGCAUUGGCUGUUGCUGCUGCUGCUUCGGCUGCUGCUGCUUUGGCUGCCGCUUUGGCUGCUGUUGCUGUGGCUGCUGCUGCUGUGGCUGCUGCUGCUGUGGCUGCUGCUGCUGUGGCUGCUGCUGCUGAGGCUGCUGCUGCUGAGGCUGCUGCUGCUGCUGAGGCUGCUGCUGCUGUGGCUGCUGCUGCUGCUGUGGCUGCUGCUGCUGCUGUGGCUGCUGCUGCUGCUGUGGCUGCUGCUGCUGCUGCGGCAGCAGUGGUGGUGGCAUGUCCGGUGAAAAUGGUAAUUCUGGCAAGGGUGGGAGGUUCCGCAUCACCUCCCGUUGUUGCCGCAUCACCUCCUGCUUCUGAAAGCUCAUCCACCAUUCGAAGAAAUGCAGGUCCUUAAGGUCUCUGACUUCUCACCCUCCUUGAGCUGCCCCUGGUAGUAGUUUUCCUGCUCAGCCCGGAUCUGCUCCAGGGAGCUGGUUUCACUGUCCACACGGUGUGCAGGCAAGCACCAUGCAGCAACUGGGCCUGAUGGCUUCUCAUCCGCAGGCCUGCCUGCAGGUGCAUGUUAUAUCAUAGAACACACCCGGGUGGUGGCGUCGGAAGACACCGAUUGAAAGAACGUCUUCCGCUUAAAUAGCGAAGAUGCAGCCAUCGCAUGAGUCGUACAGCCAGUCCCGGAAUGGUGCUGCCAAUCCCGGAAUGGUGAACUGUUGACCCAUGCUUCCAAUCGAUGACAGGGCUCCACGAGCCAGGGACCGGUGUCCCAGUCAUAACCUGUGCUACGACCCCGCCCAUACUUCCGCCUGAGGCGACGUUUACUUGUAGGCAUCCAUGACAGCGUCCCCCUCACCAUCGGACCCAGAGGUCGGAGCCAUAAAUCUGAGGAAUGGCGGCAAAGUAGGCAGUGGAAAUCGGUUAGUUCCAGUGAACUUAUUCAUCAACCGCGCCAAGCGGGAACAACAGAAAAAAGACAGCAAAUGUAUCAGUUUGGGACCAGAUGUAAGGAAAGGUAUACAACAGUGCAGGUACUGAUGAUGGUGCGGCUGCCACGGCUGCAGGUCCUGCUUGGUGCAUGCAGUUUGCAGUGGUCACAUGGGCGACUGCUGCAUCCCACUCCCGCUGGGCUUCUGCUUGCCGUGCUGCUGCUCAUCCUCCUUGGUUCCGGGCUGGUGCUGCAGGAGCACCACUAAGACUGUGAGUCCCAGGUAGGGGGCUGCAUGGCAGCCAUGUGAAGUGUGUCCCGCCGCAGCCCCUGCUGUGUCAGCCAGCGCCAUGAUUGAAACUCAGGCAAGGGCUUGGUGCCCUCAGUGAGAGUGACCACAACACCAGCAGCGUGUCCAGUAUGCUGGGCAGGACUGAAGUGCUCCGCUGGAUGCCUGUACACAUCAGCCAGCCAGUGUGACACAGCUCUGGACUGGACCUGUGGCAGUACCCCACUAAUGGUGUACACAGUCGGCAGAACCCUGUGGAUGUCCACAAUGCGCGCCCCCACGUUCACCGGACUGCUGAUGGGGCCCAGGGCAACAGGCCCCAGGUGUAGUAUUAUGUGUGAAAAUCCACCAUUCAGUGGGGGUGAUAAGAAUCACCAGUUGAGUGUGCAGCACGUUGCUUAUCCAAAUCCAUGUAUGACAUGGAGCAUUCAUACAAUUAUAUCUUAUUAUAACGCUUGGAUACCCCUUUGACCAUUGGGGUAGAUAGCCAGGAGACAGUGGCUAUCAUAACGACACAGGCUUCUUCAACAGACAGGGAUCGAACAACUUCCGAUCAGACCCAUCCCCCGUGGUUAGCCAGCACUACAGAAUUACCACGUUAAAGCUCAGAUGACUUUGGACAAUCUCUCUGGGACAUCAGUUCGUAGGCCAGUUGCCUGUAUAGGACAGUUAGCAGUUGCUAGGUCAGACACAGCUCUGUUACGCGCCAGGUAGAAUUGCGCUAAGUCCACAGCGUGAUACUACUAUCCCCCCUCCAGAUGGCGCUUCCCCGCGGCGUCCCGAGCAGCAGAUAGAACAUUAGCGAGGUCCGGUGUGAAGUUCUUCUCCGGCUCCCAGCUGUUGUGCUCUGAUGAGUAGCCAGCCCACUUGCCCAGGUACUCACAGACAUUCCGGAACUUGCAAUCAGCAUGUACGUGACGUACUUGGAAGUCCAGAAUACGCUCCACAUGGUACAAGGGGUGUUAUCGUCCCAAGCGACAGGCCCAGGGUCUGCCACAGUCUCCAGAGCAUCUCCACGGAACGGACGCACCAGCGAGACAUGGAAUGUGCAGUGGAUCUGGAACUUGGGCAGCAGGUCCAGCUCGACAGCAACUUUACCUUCCAUUCGUACCACAGGAUACGGUCCAGCCCAGCGAGGCAGCAGCUUGCGGGAGCCCUGAACUUGUCCAUGAAGGUUCUUCGUACUCAACAUGACAAGUUGACCAGGUGUCGGCACCAGAUCCUUCUUGUUACGGUUGUAGUAACGUGUAGUCCGUUGUUGGGCAGCAUCCAGACAGGUCUUCGCAUCACUGAUGCGCAUGACAAAGGACUUGACAAAGACCUUGGCAGCAGGUACCGGCAGGUCCAGCUCUCGCCAGACCGGUAGAGCAGGAUUGAAGUCAUAGUUCAGGAAGAAUGGACUCUUACCAGUCGAAUGAUUUACAGCGUUGUUCAUAGCGAACUCCGCAGCAAACAGAUACACAUCGGCAGGCGGCUGGCAGAAGUUAAGGCCUGGCUUCUGCUCCCGUCGCGUCCCGGCGCGUCCGGGUUCAAAUCCGCCUGCCGAUCUCUCGGUGUGUUUGAGAGGUGAUGAAAUGGGAGGUGGCCCCCCAUCUUGUGGACGGUGUAGGACGUGAUAAAAUCAACUCGCGAGCUGACCAGGAACUAAGUUGAUGCGCCGUUGAUCCGCUAGAUUUGGUUGGAUGCUGGUGGUGAGUUGCCAAACUCAAAGAGUACACUCUGAAGUCGGAUGGGGUGAAUGGCUUAGGGUGCCCCUAUAGCAGGGGAGAGCAGGGAACUGCCUCGGGAAGGAGGCCACUGGUGAAGCUUAACCACCCUGUAAAAGAGAAAAAGAUACACAUCCCAGGUCAUAGGAUUACGGCUCACAAAAUUGCGCAACAUAUCACCCAGAGUGCGAUUUACGCAUUCAGUCUGACCAUCAGUUUUAGGAUGGUACACCGUGGACAGAUUGAUCCUCAUAUUCAACAGAGUUCCAAGCAUGCCCCAAAACUUACUCGCAAACUGCGGGCCAAGGUCAGAUACCACGUUUUUGGGGGUGUCAUGCAAAUGGACAAAAUUGUUCAAAAACAGGCCUGUAGUAUGCUCAGCUGUACAGGUCGUAGUAGUGGGCGCCAGGUGCACCAUCGUAGUCAGGUGACCCAUGAAGACUAAGACCGCAUCAUAUCCCCCCUGAGUUUUGGGAAGCACGACCACAAAGUCCAGUGACACACUGUCCCAAGGCGCAUCCGGGACAGGCAGGGGUUGCAGAUGCCCUGGCGUCUCACCGGACUGCGGCUUGUUGUGUUGGCAAUCAGGACAGUGCUGAACAUCCUCCUCGGUACCACGAGCAAGGCGGGGCCACCAGAAACGACGGCGCAGUUGCUCAAGCAUACGGGUGGACCCAGGGUGACCAGCAAGAGAACCUUCGUGAUAGCGAGAGAGGAGAUCUCGAUGAAGGAUGGUGUCAGCAGGUACCACUAUCUGCUGGUGAUCACCAUCUGUACCGAACCAGAGACCGUUCUUACGAUGCAACGGGUCAGUGUUAUGCCGGUUCGAACACCAUUGGUCAGAAGUGUAAGUACGAUGCAAGCGAUCCAUAAGUGUGGGUUCUGUAUGCAUAGAGGAGGGACUCGCGACUAGCAGGAUAGCAGCAGAGCGAUGAGUCGUCACAGCAGCGACAGGAUCAGAGACAGCAGACAGAAUGGUGGCAUGCAGCGAUGGGUGACGACUAAGAGCGUCAGCCACAUUAAGUGUCCCCUUGCAGUGUUCCCAUGCAAAGUUGAAGCAUGACAUGUAGCCAACAAGUCUGUCGACAGUGCAGUGCAGGCCCUAUGGCUGGAUGUCCCCCCUUUAUGGCCCCCUAGACCCCUUGACCCUCAUGAAGGGGGGCCCUUAGCCCCCUUAGCCCUAAGGCAAGGGGUCUAGGGGGCCAUAAAGGGGGGACGUCCAGCCAUAGGGCUAUGCGAUGCGAACUGAAAGUCCAAGGCGGUUGACCCUGCCAUCUAGGGUCCCACAUCAUCCAUUCACCCGAAAGUCCGUACAGACAGAGGAUUCAACAAUCACCAUCAAUCAAGCGUGGGAAUCUUGGUCAAGUGAGACCGCAACUGCACAUUUGGACAGGUAUUUAAAAUCUGAUGCUCCUGACAACGUCGGGGAGCUACCCAGAAAUCAUACCCAGGACUUAAGACUGCCUCACAAGAGCGCAGUAGUGCCUGCAGACCAGACCACACCAAACAAUAUAAUAAUGUAAAUCAGGUCAUCCUAAUGCAAAACACUCCCCGCUGUUGUAUUACCUAAUGCCUAAUGCCUGAUCGCAUUCUAAAGAUAUACUGUACACAGCUGCCUACAUUUGCCAUUUCACGGGACUCAGAGAAUACCGUUGUCCCGCCCUACAGAUAUCCCGGAUUAUAUGCCACCGUCACCACCGCCACCACCACCAACACCACCGCCUCCACCGGUGGAACCACCACCACCACCGGUGCCACCAUCUCCCCGUCGUAAACCUCCUCCCUCUCCCCCUCCCCCUCGGCAUCCGCCUCCCAGCCCUCCGCCCCCUAACCCUCCGCCUCCCAGCCCUCCGCCCCCUAACCCUCCGCCUCCCAGGCCUCCGCCCCCUAAUCCCCCUCCNNNNNNNNNNNNNNNNNNNNNNNNNNNNNNNNNNNNNNNNNNNNNNNNNNNNNNNNNNNNNNNNNNNNNNNNNNNNNNNNNNNNNNNNNNNNNNNNNNNNNNNNNNNNNNNNNNNNNNNNNNNNNNNNNNNNNNNNNNNNNNNNNNNNNNNNNNNNNNNNNNNNNNNNNNNNNNNNNNNNNNNNNNNNNNNNNNNNNNNNNNNNNNNNNNNNNNNNNNNNNNNNNNNNNNNNNNNNNNNNNNNNNNNNNNNNNNNNNNNNNNNNNNNNNNNNNNNNNNNNNNNNNNNNNNNNNNNNNNNNNNNNNNNNNNNNNNNNNNNNNNNNNNNNNNNNNNNNNNNNNNNNNNNNNNNNNNNNNNNNNNNNNNNNNNNNNNNNNNNNNNNNNNNNNNNNNNNNNNNNNNNNNNNNNNNNNNNNNNNNNNNNNNNNNNNNNNNNNNNNNNNNNNNNNNNNNNNNNNNNNNNNNNNNNNNNNNNNNNNNNNNNNNNNNNNNNNNNNNNNNNNNNNNNNNNNNNNNNNNNNNNNNNNNNNNNNNNNNNNNNNNNNNNNNNNNNNNNNNNNNNNNNNNNNNNNNNNNNNNNNNNNNNNNNNNNNNNNNNNNNNNNNNNNNNNNNNNNNNNNNNNNNNNNNNNNNNNNNNNNNNNNNNNNNNNNNNNNNNNNNNNNNNNNNNNNNNNNNNNNNNNNNNNNNNNNNNNNNNNNNNNNNNNNNNNNNNNNNNNNNNNNNNNNNNNNNNNNNNNNNNNNNNNNNNNNNNNNNNNNNNNNNNNNNNNNNNNNNNNNNNNNNNNNNNNNNNNNNNNNNNNNNNNNNNNNNNNNNNNNNNNNNNNNNNNNNNNNNNNNNNNNNNNNNNNNNNNNNNNNNNNNNNCACAGCCCUCCCCCCCUUAACCCUCCACCUCCCAGCCCCCCAUCCCCUCGCUAUCCUACACCUCUCCCUCCUUCCCCUUAUACAUCACAAUUAAUAAGUCCUCCGGGGCCUCCACCAAGUCCAACGGCGCCCCAGGCUGCUGCAUUUGUUCAAUCAGAGAGGGCAAGUACCAGUCGCAGCGGCGGUUCAGGAGGUGAAGCAAAUGAAGGCAGCGGAUUCAGUCCAACAGCUGCUCCACUGAUGGCGGGAGCGGCCACAGCAGGGCUGCCGUUGCCCCCAUCCGCUGUUGGAGGUGUGGAUGGAGCAUCCCACGAGUCAUCUGCUGGAUCAGCUGCUGAUACUACAGCUUCUUCUGUUGCAACACCUGGGGCUGCCACUGGUGGCUUAUCGGUGGUGCUGAUAGUCGUUUGUACCAUUGUGGGUGCGGCUAUGGUGGCCGUGGUGGUCGGUGUGGUGGGCUUGAAGCGGGCCCGGGCUCGGGGUAACCGUGUUGUACCCCUGUAGACCUUCCAUACCUUUUAAACAACCGCAAAAAGUUCAUGCAUUGGUACUGGGUGGUCCUUGUGCGUCUGUGAAAUGUUUAUCGCCAAUAGAUGGUGCCCUUGUAUGCAUAUGAUAUAUUGGGGCCGCUUUACUAUUCAUCCGUUGCGUUUUGUCCGUUGCACCUUGCUGCGUUGUUGUGGGCAACGAAUAUGGAUAGACGGUUGCAUGAAUGUGAUUUGUAUAGUACGUAGUAGGAGAAGGUGGAUUGGGACAAUGCUAUGGCGCCUCCGUCAUCUCAGCCCACUUUCCGUCGCUCCUUAAAGCCAUCCAGGCUCACACAAUCAGACGCAAGUCCGCACAAUUCAUGAAUGCCAGUCAUUUGGGCCAUCAUUUUCUUGCUUGAGAUGCGACGGAACGAAUAGAUAAAUCGAAUAGAUAAAGAGAACGGUUAUUACAUGGUUACUGGAGGAUAGGUGACUAUCGGAGCCCGCCCCCAUCAGUGUUAUCAUAAUCGUCACUGUUUCAGGUAUCUUAUUUGACGUCCAUCAAUGCAAUUGCUUGCAAGCCACAACCACCGCUGCAUUAGCCUGCAAGUCCGGUACUUACCGACUACCUGCGGUAUUGUAGUGUGCACUAGACCAUCCUCCAUAUUUUGGUUGCAUCCAUAAAGUCCAUAUGGAGUUCCAUAAAACCCCCGUCCACCGACUUAUGGAAGGCCAGAACACGCACAUGUAGCCAUGUAAAUAUGUACAAGUAGACUUGUCCUGUCAAGACUGGCAUAUGCAUGCUUAGCACCUGCAUGUUGCUUGCUCAAUUGUGUGUGUGAGUGUGUAUGUGGCCGGCAGACACUGCUAGACAUUAUUAUAUUAGAUUACACGGGAUGUAAGCCUGUCGUGUGUUAAGGGGAAUGCGGAACUGAGGGGGUUAUUCCCCAUACUCCGGUGUCCGCCGAGCACAUACACAUGCAGGUAUGCCUAUGAGAUUAAUGUCUCCAGGAAAUAUCACUCAAGGGGACUAAUACACAACCUGGAUGAGUCCGCCAGCCAUCACUGCCCUGACCAUAUGUGUACGGUAACCUACCACCAGCCAAGCCAGGAACUAUGCCUGCCUUCUUCACCUACCAUGCUUGAACAGGAGGACCUAGUCCUAUGCUAGAUUAAUUCAGGGUGCUAGAACCUCAAUCCACCCCUCCCACUAUCGUAGCAGGAACACUACAAUAUCGCUAUGGCUCGUUAUGUUUCUUAUGUACAUUUCUUGGUUCUGCUUUCAAGCUUGAAAGCAGUUAACUGAGACAAUGUUGUCACUUGUGGGCAGGCGGGAUUCUUACUACUGUUGACGGGGUGUUACACUGUGGGCAACUCGCCCUGGGAACAGACGAGCACCGAGGACCCUGACUGGGCCGAAACACAGUGCAAGGGUGGGCGCACGGUUAUGUCCAUCUGUCCCGCCGUGCACGCCUCACUCCCUCACUUACACAAGCCGGGGGUCCCUCUCGGCCCCCGGCUAAGCAACUCAACGGUGCAGAAGGCUGCAAGCCGUGCUAAGCGAGAAGCUAACCACACGAGAGGUGCCACAAGCCUCAGUCCCUAAACCACCGCCUCGGCCUCAAUAAACAAGCCUCAAUAAACAAGCCGCCACCCCCUGGCCAGCUUACUCACAUGCUCUCGCUGUUCUAACAAACAGAGAACCAAGCCGCUUCCACCGGCACUCUCCCCUGGGGCAGGGGCUUAAAAAGGGGCUCCACCACACCCCCUCCUCUGAACGUUCGCCAACUUUUGGCGGCACUGGACAGAGUGCGUCACGGGUCGCCUGCCAGCAGCCUCCGCCAGGCGUGCUCUCCUCCUCUGAAAGUUCGCCAACUUGUGGCGGCGCCAAACAGAGUGUGUCACAGGUCGCCUGCCGGCAGCCUCCACCGGGCGUGCUCUCCUCCUCUGAAUGUUCGCCAACUUUUGGUGGCGCCAGACAGAGUGCAUCACGUUUCACCUGCCGGCAUCCUCCACCGGGCGUGCUCUCCUCCUCUGAAAGUUCGCCAAUUUUUGGCGGCACCGGACAGAGUGCAUCACGGGUCGCCUGCCAGCAGCCUCCACCAGGCGUGCUCUCCUCCUCUGAAAGUUCGCCAACUUGUGGCGGCGCCAAACAGAGUGUGUCACAGGUCGCCUGCCGGCAGCCUCCACUGGGCGUGCUCUCCUCCUCUGAAUGUUCACCAACUUUUGGCGGCACCGGACAGAGUGCAUCACGGGUCGCCUGCCGGCAGCCUCCGCCGGGCAUGCUCUCCUCCUCUGAACAUUCACCAAUGUUUGGCGGCGCCGGACAGAAUGCAUCACGGGUCGCCUGCAGGCAGCCUCCACCGGGCGUGCUCUCCUCUGAAAGUUAGGCCAACAUUUGGCGGCGCCAAACAGGUGCCAGUGCAGGCUCGGUCUGACGCCACAUUCGGAGCUGCCAUGUGCCCGCCACAGCGGCGGGGGGCGCCUCUGCUGCACCCCUGCCACCCCUGCCAUCACCGUCACCACCACCGUCAUCGUCUGCGCCAACGACUUCACUGUCAUCACCAGGCGCCGGCUGCAAACCCUCUCUCCGCAUCCUGUGCAGGGAACACUGCAGCCUCUUCCGGGCUUCCAGGACCACGUUACUUUCCAUGCCCUCUGCGUCAGGGGGCACAAUCAAUAGCUCGUCGUAUUUGAACUCCUGCAGCACCUGCUGCACCACCGCACCCUGCUCUGGCACGUCCCUCUCCUCGAUCUUGAACCUGUGGUUCAUGCCUGCCGUGUAUCCCACAACUUUGUACACCUUCCCAGAGAAGUGUUCUCCCUCUUUCUUCUCGAAUCUGUGCUUGCCCAUGUGCAUAUAGUGCUGCACCGUGUCACCCACGCGGGGGUACUUGGGCAGCAGCAUCACUCCAACGCGCUUGUUAUACUGUGAGUUCUCCCAGUGCAGCUGAGCCAGGCGCCCCGCAGCCGCCACUGCCGUAGCUGCCGCCGCAUCCGUAGCUGCCGUAGCUGCCAUUCACGAGGGUGACUCACCGACGAUGAACCACCCAAGCACCUGCUCGGGUGUCAUGGUCUGGCAUGCGGUGCCCCCUUCACACAGCUUCAGUGGAUGGUGCAGCGUGGUGUUGUAGUUCUGCACGCACCUGGCCAGGUCCUUGCUCACCCUACCAACUCAUAGGGGGUCUAACAGCGUCUAACUUCUUAGGCGGGGCUGUCAGAGGGGCUCAUUAUCAGCUGCUGACGAUAGUUGUUAACGUGGCAUAACAGCCAGUUAGACACUGGGUUAGAGCCUGUCUUGUCCUGUUUGGCCCUGUGACUGACAUAUACCUGGAGCCCACACUGUUAACAGUUGAUGGGGUGUUACACUGUGGGCGGGUUGGGUUUAGGGUUUUAGGGUUUUAGGGAGUACACACGGGGGGAAAGAAUGGGCUAUUGCAGCGAAGCAACGCCCCAGAUGAGUGCUAAAAACGGUGCAUUAGAACAUGCAUAUUUGAAGCUUAGCCUAACGUUGUCCUUGGCAUCCGACUGCACCCACUACCCUCCAGGGCAUGGCUAGGAGCUUUUCGAGUCGAGGAACGUACGUCAUACAUCGCUACAAGGUGUGUAUGGAUAGGGAGGGUCGGGGAAUUGGGGCUGGGAGGGUUGGGAGGGUCGUGGCACGGGAGGUUGCGGGGUAUGGGGGUUAGGGAGGGUCGGGGAAUAGGGGUUGGGAGGGUUGGGAGGGUCGGGGCACGGGGGUUGGCGGGGUAUGGGGGAUAGGGAGGGUCGGGGAACGGGGUUGGGAGGGUCGGGAGGAUCGGGGCACGGGGGUUGGCGGGGUACGUCUGUAUUUUUUUUGGUCGUCUAUAUCCUGAAGACCCGUCUAUUAGACGAGUCAUCUACAAUAGUUCGUCUAAAGUCGAGUCGUCUAUACAUGUCGUCUCUAGUCGAUUCAUCUAUUGUAGACGAAGAAUAGACGAUGGGUAGACGGUGAGAGGAGUUCAAUAUGCUGGAGAGUGUCUGCUUGGGUUAAACCAUGCCGCUGAGCUGAUGUCUGUUCUGCAUCAAUGUUGGCAAGGUUCUGGCAGGCUAACACUGCCUGGCAUGUAACGAUUAUCGCCAUACUUACAAAACCCCAGCACAUGCUGUGGGGACCAGGCAGUGCCCAGCCUCUCCCACUUCCUUACCACAAAACUGUAGCAGUUUGAGAUGAUUGGGCAGCAACACCAUUGCCGAUGCAUUACUGACAACAGCACCGCCAUCCCAAACGCCUUUAUCAGGAAAACUUUCAGGCUUAUCUUGCUGUUUUGGUGUUUGUUCGGCGUUCAGUCGUUGCCUUUUGCGUGUUUGGCUAUGUAAGGACCGGUCAUACAUUCUGCUAUGCCGCGUUGACUCACGGGCUUGACCUUCUUACGAAAUUCUAUGAUAGCUUAUGAGCACCGCAGAGCUUUUAUCAUUUUUGUCGGUGGUCUUGAGCAGCUGUGUCGUAGUCGCGUCCCUUACGAGGGACGCGAGUACGGCAGAUUGAAAUUGAAGAAGAUUCGUCUAUCAGGGAAGGUUGUCAGCAUUGCCCAUCAGGCCUCGGUUUAUCUGCUUAAUUUAAAAUUAUGGACUCCACUUUUAUUUUGAACCUUCUCGAUGAAAAUUGGUCGGCUUUUGAAGAGCAGGCAGUGUUUAUCACGAAAAAUGGUAUUGCUUUUGAUGCUGAGCUGGCAGCGGAACUUGUUUAUGUAGUGCAGCCACAGCUAGUGAAGCAGUGCCCAGGCCUCGGCGAGACAUUCUGCGCAUUCCUGGAGGACGUUACAGCAAAUCUAUUUAGUGUAAUUUCCUAUAAUUAGAUAGUGACACAGGUGUCGCAAUUACUUCACUGGUUAUCACAUAGGGAGAGGCCCUGGUCAACUGCCAGACUUUCACUGAGCAUUCUCACCUGCCGCGACUGGUCAUCAAUAUGUCCACCCAGAGGUGCCCUCACUGUGGACGAGAGUUCAAGGAGCUGCGCCUGCAUCUCCUUCGCAACCCCUAUGGCUGCAAGGGUGUUAUCGAGUCAACGCUGCCUGGCUGCUGCGUUGCCGGUGGAGACGUCGCCAACAAUGAUAAAUUAUUCACAGACAAUGAGCCAGUGGUGAAUGUGGAAUGCAGGCAGAGUGUUCCUCUUGACGAGCCAUCAAUUGGCACGUUCGAGAUGGGCGUCUCAUACCUUGACCACCUAGACAAGUAUGCAGAGGCAAAUAGUGAAAAGCCACCUGAGAAAAGUUUGUCUUCAGAGGUGGAGACCUUCCUCGCGGCGAACCUCUCGGGUGCGUUUUUACCAGCAUUGGCCAGUGUUACCAGUGUUUACCAGCAUUACUCACUGUUUCUAAGCAUGCUGUUUUUGGUGCCUAGUUGAUAGCAAGCCACAAUGCUUACUGCAAGUUGAAAUGUGAUGCCUGCAGGUUGCAAGCUCCAGGAGUUUUUGCGCCUGUUCAAGCAGUUUCCAGGCGAGGCCUACACCCCAUCUGCAGAUACUUUGAAGGGUAUCUACAAUUCUUUGUGGGACUACCACCUCUGUGUACCACUCACAUGCAGGUGAGGGCAAGGAUAGCCUGUCCUUCCGGUCCCUGAAGCGCAAGGUCCUCCAGGCCGCACUUGAUGUGGCCCUGGCACCCCACAUAUAUGUGGUCAUGGAUCCGGUCAUAGUUUGUCAUUAAGUCAUGGAUCUGGUCAUGUAUGUGGUCAUGGAUCCGGUCAUAAUUUGUCAUUAAGUCAUGGAUCCGGUCAUGGAUCAGUUCAUAGUUUGCAUAAGCAAGUGCAGGAUAUGACUGGUUGGGGUCAUGAAAUGCGUGGUCAUGAUGGGAUUUAUGAUUGGAUUUAUGACAGGUCAUGGGACCGCAAUAUGACCGUAUUCAGUCAUGGCUGCACUUUAUGACCCCAUGAGGUCAUAAAGGUGGUCAUGUACCUGCUCAUAAAUAUGCGGAACAUGACCAGGUCAUAUUGCGCAUGGUAUUCCAUGAUGGAACAAUGCAUUCCAUGACCACCCUGGCCCAUGUUUUGCACUCAUUCCAUGAGUCAUACAAUGCAUUCCAUGACCACCCUGGCCCAUGUUUUGCACUCAUUCCAUGAGUCGUACACUGCAUUCCAUGACCACCCUGGCCCAUGUUUUGCUUGGUUUACAUGACUCGUACACUGCAUUCCAUGACCACAUUGGCACAUGUUUUACAUUGUUUACACGAGUCAUACACUGCACUCCAUGACCACCCCUGGCCCAUGUUUUGCGCACAUCCCAGAAGUUGUUCACUGUGGGCUUAUAAGUCAUGACCAGCAACCCAUCAAUAUGUGGGCUCCAGACUCCAAGUCUGCUACCCUACCACAUAGACUUGCCCGGUUAUCGGGCAAUUUAGGUCGUUAACGGGGUAUGCGGAGACCGGUUACCAGGUGGAUGGUUACCGGGGGUCGUUAAUGGGGGUGGUUACGAUUGGGUUACAGUUACUGGGCAGUAACCGGGGCUGGUUUUUCGCAUUAAUUUACAGCAGCAAGGACAGCCCUCUAUGGCCGGUACUCAGCUCAGUGUCUUUUUUUAAAGUAAUAUAUUCCUUAAAAGUAAUAAACAGGCCCAAUGGCAUACUCCAGGCCGGUUCCGGCCCGGUUCCGACCUAACGGGUCCAGUUAACGAGAUGGGUAACCGGUCGGUAGGAUUACCGGGCGAACCGUUAUCCGUUAACCGUCCCCAGUAAUCGGUAACCGAUGUCGGUAACCUGGCAUGAGCAAAAAUGCAUUUCUGAUUGCAACCAGUUUCUUUGUGACAAUGCCCAUUGUCACAAGGUUCAUGCCCACGUGUCACAACCCGACAAGCUUGAGGAGGUUAAGGCAAUGUGAAUGCCGGGUGACAGGGGUGACAGUCUUGUGCAGGCACAUUUGGAGACUAGUUUACACUGAGAUUGGGGUGAUGUUGGAUUAGAAUACUUGCAGUUCAUGAAAUUGAGGAAAUGUGUUGCAUAGGCAUAUCCAAACGUUUCAGAGGGACGUUGUUUCGCCCGUAACAAACUUGUUACGGGCGAAACAAACUGGAUUUCCACAGUCCCACCACUCAAAGAGCUCCCCACACCAUCGCAAAGUCCCUUUUUUAUUACAGACACAUGUAACAAGUUGUCAUAGCUUGAGAUUGUCGAUAUAUGACUGCUGGAUUGUGACCAGGCCAUCUCCUUACAUGUCUUGCUGCACCAGCAUGAGCAGUGAUCCCUUCUGUUUAAAAUUUUCAGGCAACAUCGCAAUGAGGCAAAACAUUGUGCCGAAUCUGCCGUACAAAGAGUNNNNNNNNNNNNNNNNNNNNNNNNNNNNNNNNNNNNNNNNNNNNNNNNNNCACACAGUCUCACACAUACAUGUACACACACAUUGUAGCAAGCUACAUUUCACUUAGAAUAUUCAACGAUUACUCUUGACAAUAACUGUUAAUUCGUUAACGAUUCGACUCUAGUUUUGUACAUGUUAUGAGUUUCGUCACAUGUCUCGAACAUGGUGGUUGUUCGCAGCGAAAACCCUUAGAAUAUUUCAACGAUUACUCUUGACAAUAACUGUUAAUUCGUUAACGAUUCGACUCGAGUUUUGUACAUGUUAUGAGUUUCGUCACAUGUCUCGAACAUGGUGGUUGUUCGCAGCAAAAACCCUUAGAAUAUUUCAACGAUUACUCUUGACAAUAACUGUUAUUUCGUGAACGAUUCGACCCGAGUUUCGUACAUGUUACGAGUUUCGUCACAUGUCUCGAACAUGACGGUUGUUCGUAGCAAACCUAAUGGGCUGGGGCCCCGGGGCCCCACUGACAUAAUCCUAGUAUGGCAGGACCAUGGUAGGGAAUCUCCGGCAGGUAGGCCGAGAUAUAAGCUACCCGGGCGGGGUGCACUGGCCAGACACUGAAGUAUCACGAAUACUAGGUGUUCAGAGUUCAAGACUCCGCUGCCGCCAUAUAGAUUGUUUUCGUAUACGCGUCUAUGCAGACUAGUGCUUGCCGCUGGGUUGGUCUCCUUCCUGCCUCGGCGAAGACUAUCAUCUCAAUGCUUCCGGGUAACAGGCUGUUGGGAGUUAGAGAUUGAUCAACGUCAUGACCAACCUAACAGCUGUGAGCACACAGCACGCACCUGCAGGCUUUGUGACUGCAGGGCGGUUCAAGGCGAAAUGCAUGCCUUUGUGAAAUGCCCGGUGUACACUAGUACACGGGCUAAGUAUGAACAUGACCUCGCGUUUCAAGGGUACAACGUGCGCACGAUUUGACUGAGGCCCCACCCCUGGCACUAGCCAGGUUCCCCUCGGAAGUCUGGGAGACCCGGCACGUUGCUCUAUGGCGCUUCAUAUGCUCAAGUGGACGAGGGAGGACAAUGAUGGUAACUGCACUUCCACCAUGUAACUGCACAUCAAACGAUUUACCGUCCAUGGGCACGCCAGCUUUUAUGUACAACCCCGCACUUGUAUGGAACUUGUAACACACUCAAACACAUACAAAGACAGACACAACCACCCACCCAUUUCAGUCACACACACACACACACACACACACACACACACACACACACAGACACACACACAGACAGACACACGGACAGACAAACAGAGACAGACAAAAGGAGAGUCACAGAGACAGACACACAGACAGACAGAGACAGACACAGACAGACAGACACAGAGGCAGACACACAGACAGAGAGACACGGACAGACAGACACAGAGACAGACACAGACAGACAGACAGACAGACAGACAGACAUAAAUAGAUAAAGAAAGAAAGGAAGAGGGUUUUAGGGUUUAGGGUUUUAGGGAGUACACACGGGGGGAAAGAAUGGGCUAUUGCAGCGAAGCAACGCCCCAGAUGAGUGCUAAAAAC